UUAGUUGAUAGAUUUAAGGGUACGAUUAUUAAGUUUGUGAUGCAAGAAACCUAUGAAUGCAAAUUGGUAAAGUAAAAUGCAUAAGAAAAAUAUAUACAUAAGGUGUGCGAAAAGUAAUAAAUAAAGAAAGAAAAAAAAAACACUUCUUAAAUACACUUUGAUAUGAUCGUUUUUAGAAGUUGUAGAGUUUGAAAUUUUGAGUGACUUUGGACAUUUGUCUUUGUACUUCUUCACGUUGUUUUCACAUUGGUUUUUCGAAAUAAUAAUACUUGAACUCUCGUGCUGCUGUCAAGACAUCUGAGACUCGAAUACUGAACUUCGAAGUAAUGAUAUAUUGUAUUGUGAUCAAUCAAAUCAGAAACAGUCCUCAUGAGUUUAACUCAGUUGGUAAGGACAAUGCAUAAUAUACAAGGUCCGGGAUUCAAACCUCGGCCACCACCAAAUCAAAUCAGAAACAAUCAAUCGAAAUUUGUAUGUAACAGAAUCCCUCAAAUGCAGAGAAAUAAAGUAAAGGCCGUUCUUAUGCCCUAAGAGCAUCUCCAACUUAAUACUUCCAUUGCAAUUUUAAGUCCAAUACACAUACAUGGCAAAAGUUAUCUUUAUUGUUUUCCUCCAAGUGAGCGCUUAAGAUUUAUUCAAAAUUUAUUCAAUAGUGAAUUCAAAUAAAGAUUCAUAACAGAUACAAAAAUGACUACAUGUAUAGUCACUACAACUCUGAUCCGGCCGCAAAAUACCAUCUCUUUACAUUUCAUCAAUACACACUUUGACAGAUGCCUUAAAAAGGUGGACAAGAAUUCCAUUUGAAAUUGUCUUCCAUCUUCUUUUGGAUUACGUGUUUUAAUGAAAAAGGGAAUAGGGUGGACUUAUUUUAUCAUGAAUAAUUUUGGGCCUACAAAACCUAUCAAGUUGGGUCGGACUUUAUGUCCAAUGACAUGAAAUGAGAGGCUUGUGGGUCGGAUUUUGUUGUUCUUUCUUUACAUCAACCUUUUUUUGUCGAAAUAUUGUCACUUCACAUGUCAAUGUCAUGCAUGAGUCUAGCUCUAGCCUAGAUUCUUCUCACUUUGUAACUUUGUUGUUGAAUGCUUAAUGGGACAUAAAUGUUGCUUACUUUAUGUGCAUGUUUGAUUCAUAUCCAAUCCAAAUUCACAUCAAAAUCAGAAUUGCGCUCCUAUCAACAAAUGCAUCAUGUAUAUUCCUUUUUCUUUUCUUCCCACAUGAAUAGCAAAAAUUGGCACAAGAGUUUGGAGGUAAAAAAUUCAAUCUUAGCGGACUGCACGUCAUGACCUAUCCAAACUGGGUGAACUACACUUGCCACUUGCAGUACUAACUAUAUAUUGUUAAUUGGAAUUCUUUUCAGCUUCAAAACUUUUUUUAUGAUAUGAUGAUAUACUUUAGUAUAGAUAUUUAUAGGUAUAUAUGCCUGAUAAACAAGAAUGAGGUAAAACUUGAUUUAGGUGUAGCUACCUGAAAAAAUAAUACUACAAUUUAGAUAUAAUAUUUGUGUAAACUAAACAAAUAUUUGUCUAUAGGGAAAAAAACCUAAAGAUAAAGAGCAUAAUUGGAUCCAAAUACUUUCUCAAUCUUUGGAAGAAUGAAAGAUGGACUCUAGAGUUAGUAGUGUUGGAAUUUGUGUUGGGGUCUGCUGCAAUAACUUGACCAAGAAGAUGAUGAAGAUGAACAUAAUGAAGUUCCAAAGAUUAUUGUAUAUCUUGUUUGUUGGGAAGAUGCUGCUGCACUUGAAACCUGAAAAGUUUAAUGAUUAUGCAUGUAAAACUCAAAGCAUAUGGGGUUACCACACUAACCUUUAGGUUCGAUUCGCCCCCACCAAUAACUGUAUAUUGGAUGCAAUAACGAAUGACCGGCGAAUCCCCUUCAGGAUACUAUGAGUUCCUUGACGUGUAUUGCACAACCACACCAAAUGUAUCUCCUAACAGUAUUUUACAAAUUUAUGGUUCCAACAAUUCACUCAUGCAUUAGAGAAUUGAUGGAUGAUUUAGAGUAAGAGAAUGGUGAAGAAUUAUGUAGUAAUGUAACAAAAUUCUGUCCAAAAUUGUGUGUUGUUGUGUGUCCAACUAAUGCCCAACUGUCAAUCAUUUAUAGUGCAUUAUAUGACUCUUCACAUGAGAGAAAACACCCCUUUGACUUGAAUCAAUGUUAUGGUUCAUUAAGCCACCAUUUGCCAAAGGUUAUGAUCAUAUACACUUGAAUCAAUGUUAUGGUUCAUUAAGCACCUAUUUGCUAAAAGUUCCAAUGUAUAUGAAAGAUUCUCAUGAAGAGUUACAACUUUUGGUCAAGAGUAACAACUUUUGGUUCUAAAGUGAUUCCAUUAUUUUGGAAAUCACCAACAAGUAGUGUACUAGCUAAACUAGUAGUUUAGUUUUAUAGAUAGAUAACCCACUAAGGUUGAUUUGAUGAUAUUGACUUAGAACCUGGGAGUAUACUCCUUCUUAUGAUCUCAUGUUCGAUUCUUCCUAGCACCAGUUUGAGAUUCUUAAAAAAAUAUAUUUAUAGAUAUAUGUACAAAGAUAAACUCAAGGAGUUGGUUUAAUGGUAAAAAGUUAAGUAUUGAAUAUGCAUUCCUAAAAAAAAAUAAAAAAAAUAAAAUUGGAUCUGCAUGUUGUAGGAUCAAGUCCCACUAAUCUUCUUGGAUCUUCUUCGAGGGUGGUACGUAUAAUUUUUUUUUUGUGAGUGCGCUUUGAAUUUGAAAAUAUUUUUUUUACCUUAGAUGGAGGCACCAUCCAUAACCCUAAAUCUAUAUAUAUUAAUUAAUUAAUAAGAAAAGAAAUGUCCCUUGAAUUUAUCAUUUUGUCCCUGUAAGGGGCAAUUUGGUAAUCUAUUUAUUGGUUGAGUUUUUUUUUUGGAACAAUGGCCUAUGAAUUUUCAUUUUUGCCCCUAACCAAUUUUUUUUAAUUAUUUUUUAAUUUUUAUAUUUUUAAUAACUUUUAAUUAUUUUCCAAUUUUUAUAUUUUUAACUUUUUCAAUUUUUUAUCCCAAAUUCAGUUGUUUCUACAUUGCCGUUGUGGGAGAUUAAAGUAUUGUUUGACCCGACAUUUUUCAAACUUCUCUACAUUUUUAAGGAGAAGUUAGGUCAAACACAAUAUCAAUUAAGUACUUACUAAAAAAAGUACUUUUUUUUGAACAAAUAGGUUAAAUCUAGGGUUAAUAUUGCAUCACCGGUUAACAUUUAGAAAUAAGAGAUGACAUUUUGCAUAAAUUAAAUCUAGGGGGUUAAUAUAGUAAAGUCACAGGAAAAAAUAAGGUUAAAUCUAGGGCUAAUAUUGCGUCACGGGUUAACAUUUAGAAAUAAGAGAUGCCAUUUUGCAUAAAUUAAAUUUAUGGUUAAUAUAAUUUGUUUAGUAAAAUUAAAGAGAAAAAUUAGGAGCGAUUUGUUUAUUUUGAUUUCCCUAACAAUUAACGUUAACAUUUUGAUCAAAUUAAACAGGGUUAAUUAAAUAGGAUUAAUACAGUAAAAUUAAGCAAAGAAGUUAGGUUAAUUAUAGGGCAAAAUUUUGCGUCCGGGUUAACUUUAAGAAAUAAAAUAAAAUAGGUUAAGUAUAGCAAGACGGGUUAACAUUUAUAAGUAAGAGAUUAAGUUAAGUAUAGCGAGACGGGUUAACGGUUAUUCCUUUAAAAAAAAAAAACAUAUAAUUGGGAACAUACUUUUAUUUUACUUUAGAUAAACAUUAAAUGCAAAAGUGUGGGGGGAAAAAUUAGGUUAAAAUUAGAGAUGACAUUUUGCAUAUCUAGGGUUAAUAUAGUAAAGUCACGCGAAAAAUAGGUUAAAUCUAGGAUUAAUAUUGCAUCAGGGGUUAACAUUUAGAAAUAAGAGAUGACAUUUUGCAUUAAUUAAAUAUAGGGUUAAUAUAGUAAAGUCACAUAAAAAAAUUAGGUUAAAUCUAGGAUUAAUAUUGCGUCACGGGUUAACAUUUAAAAAUAAGAGAUAAGAGAUGACAUUUUGCAUAAAUUAAAUCUAGGGUUAAUAUAGUAAAGUCACACAAAAAAUUAGGUUAAAUCUAGGGUUAAUAUUGCAUCACGGAUUAACGUUUAUAAAUAAGAGAUGACAUUUUGCAUAAAUUAAAUCUAGAGUUAAUAUAAUUUGUUUAGUAAAAUUAAGGAGAAAAAUUAGAAGCGAUUUGUUUAUUUUGAUUUCCCUAACAAUUAACGUUAACAUUUUGAUUAAAUUAAAUAGGGUUAAUACAAUAAAAUUAAGCAAAGAAGUUAGGUUAAAUCUUGGGUAAAAUUUUGCGUUCGGGUUAACUUUAUGGAAUAAGAUAUUAUAAUAGUUGUUAUGUUAUUUGUUAUGUAGUGUUUUAGGCUCUGUGUUGCAAAAUUUUGGUUUACGCAACUUUGAUUUUCACAUUUAUAAAGGACAACAAUUUUCCGUAAUUUAUAAGAUUUCUCCUUCGAAACUAAAUUUUAAAAAAAUACGUUAUUCAACCCGUGUGAAGCACGGGUUUGUAACUAGUUUCUUUUAUAAAAAUAAAAUAAAUAUUGUAUAAAGAAUAAGUAAAUAUUUUUAUAGACAAACCUUGAUUCUUUUUUGUUCCUUUAAUUAUUACCCUUUGGUCUGUACUGUAAAGGGGGUAAUGAAACAUGAUAACACACAAUCAAAUCAAAGAAAGGAAGGAAGAUGGGGUAUCAACAAAAGAAGGAAAUAAAUAAUCACCCUGUCAUAUUGAUGUAGCAAAAGAGGUCAGGGUGAAUAGAGAUUAACUUUCAUUUAUUUUGUUUUAUUUUAUUUUCCUUCCUAACUUUCUUGCUUAAUUAAUUCCAGUAAUGAAAAAAAGCAUCUAGAGAAAAAUGUAAUCAUUCUCAUGAAGAUGGUUGGGUUGGCCCAUAAGAAAAGAAAACUUUCUAAGAUUCUGAGCCAUGCAUGGAAAAUUGGAAAACUAAUAGAAUGCAAAAUAAUUCAUACCCCUUCCUAUCACAAUAGACCAAAAAUUAGAAUGCAUUUUUGCAUAGUUAUGGGCCCUUCUAAUUAUUGUAGUAACGCGGUGCCGGCUGUAAAAAAAAGAUAGAUACUACAUCUUUAAUUUUGUGAUCUAAUCUUUCUCUUAAUGAUAGAAACUUACACUGAUUCAAAGAUAAUCAUCAACACUAAGAUUUAGUGGGUGGUGGGUAUGCAUGAAAUCUGCAUAUGAUUGAAAGGUGUUUAUGUUUCCCUAACUAUUUCAGAAGAUUCCAUAGUUAUCACAUUACAAUCAUAAUUUUGUGGAAUGCUCUUUCUAUGUAACUAAUAAUGUUGUAAUGUUUUUUUUUACUCUUCUUUUAGUCAUUUUCUGCUUUAUGAUAUUGACAGCAAUUAGGGGAGUUUGGAAUCAGAAUCUAUGCUUUGAAGUUUGAAUAAUGAAUAUUAUAAUCACCAUUAGACUUUAUUGGAUUUUUAUGAGAUCACAUGAAUACCGUGCUCUUAAUUAUCUGCAUGUGCUUAAUUAACAAGAUAACAUUUCUUUAGGAAAUUAAUUAGGUAACCUUAAACCAUAAGUAAAGGAGCUAACGUAGAUCGAUAAGAUUUGAUAACAUCUUGAGUUUUUAUCCCUUGUCGAUGUGAAAAUCUCGUUAAUGGGUAUGUAGCACAUUUGUUAUCAUUCUCUAAGUCUUGUUUCGAGAAUUUUCGUGACCUAACUCGGCUAAACUUUAAAUUUAAAAAGAAGAGGAAAAAAAUAUCGAGCAGCAAAGCACAUAACAAAAUGCCGAAAAAUUAGUACAUCUGGGAAGAGGCAACGGUAGCAAGCAACAAAGCUGAUAAGUUAUGAAUUUUGUUAACCAGUGCCAUAAGGACAUUGUUUAAGGAUUAUAUUAAAAGAAAUUUUAUCUUGGAAAUACAAAUUGUUUCUUUAGUCAAUGCAAUAAUUACACAACUUUUUAAUAUAAAUUUACUACUUUAACCAAUGUCAUAAGGAUACUCGUUAACAUUUCCCAUAAAUUAUAAUAUUGUUAAUCAAGUUGUAUUACUCGUAGUUGUAAUACACAACAAUUUGUACACAACUUUACUAUAUAUAUAUAUAUAUAUAUAUAUAUAGUACUCCCUCCGUUCAAAAUUAUCGCUUUGGGAAAAAUAUUUGUCCUAAAUUAUAAGUCGUUUUACAAUAUUAAUAAAACAUUAAUGUUUUCAAUAAUUUAAUUUAUCUUUCUCAUAUCAUUUUUAAGAACAAUUUUAUAAAACAACUAAUACGUAUAAAAUUACAUAAAUAUUUUAUAAUUUGAGACGGAGGAAGUAUCAAAAUAGAACAAAGGCGACAAAAACCAAAAAAGCUCAAAUGAAGACCAACAAAAACAAAAGGACCUAUCUAUCCAAAUAGGUAGGGGGGAGGGGGUUCACUGCCCACUCUAGAAGGUGCAAGACGAUCUAGAUUGAUUACUUAAUUCUAAAUGGGGGGAUAACUUGACUCCUCAACUUCCAGACUAAUCACAACACAAAAUAUCAAACAAAAGUCUAACUCGGUGGCCACAUGGUUUUUGGAUUCCAACUGCUAUGUUUCUUUAUGUAUUUGAUUAAGAUGUUGUUUCAUGAAUUCUAAAAUUUUGAGGGUAUACAUUCUCCCAAACACAUUAAAUAGAAGAGCAUUGCUAUUUCUAGCCAAGUCCAAAUUCAUGAAUACAUGUUUUCAUUGUUGUGAUAUCAUCGGGAUGACGUUUUUCGCUAUAUGCAGGAUUUCCUAAAUAAAAAUACUCGCAAGGGUUUAAAUUUUGAUCAAAUUUGAAAUUCUGAACGGAAUUUAUCAACAAAUCUUAGAUUUCGAGGUAUCCAAUAUGUUUAAGGUAGGGAUGUUCAAAACCGAACCAACUCAAUAAAAAAACCGUAAACCAAAUCAGUACAAACCGAAACCGCAAAAAACCGCACUUGGUUCGGAUGACUUUUGCAUUGAACCACGCGGUUCGGUUUGGUUUGCGGUUUGCAUCUCAGAAACCGAACCAAACCAAACCAAACCGUAAGAAUAACUUUUAUUGGUUCUUAAAUGUUAUUUUGGAUAGAUAACUUUUAUUGGUAUUGUAAUGUUAUUUUGGAACUUCAAGUUCUUUUUUUUUUCGUAUAUUUAAAAUUGCUUGGUACUAAAAUGUUAUGCUAUAAAGAUAUCUAAAAUUGUUUGAUACUAAAAUGUUAAUUUUGGAUGAUGGAGUUAACCAUAUAACUUUGGUGGUAUGUUAUGCCACUUUAUGACACAUGUAAUACAUGACUAUAUUAACGCAUAACAAUAUAUUGUUGGUGUUGAAAAUAAAAGUUUAGAAUCUAUGCAAUUCAUGUAUUAUUGUAUAGUCAUAUUUUAUUAUGUAAACAACAAAAUAAAAUGUCAUAUGUUUAUUUUGUAAUAAUUUGGCAAUAUUAGAGUUAAUGUAAUAUUUUUUUAUCUCGCGAUAAACCGCAUCAAUCGAACCAAUCCAAACCGCAUUGGUUUGGUUUGGUUUGAAUGAGUUUUUAAAAAUCAAGCGAACCAAACCAAACCGCAUCCUUUUUUAUCUCACGAUUUGGAUGACUUUUAUGCUCAAAAUCGAACCAAACCGCACCGCGAACACCCCUAGUUUAAGGGUCCAAAUUCAUGCAUAUAUCAGUUUAAACAUCCAAAAUUCUAAGGGUCUAAAAUUUGAACAAAGGCUCCAAAAUAUUUGAGAGCGGCCUGAUUCUAAACAUAUUUUUAUUUUGAGUUUAAUUGAAAUGCUUUGUUAGUGUAAAAUAAAAUUAUACAUUAACAAAAUAUAUUAAUUAAGUUUUUUUUUUGAGGGAGUUAAUUAAGUUCUUUAUUUUUUAUUUUUUUUAAAUGGCUAAGUUUUUUUUCAUUCAUUAAAUGGCUAAGUUUUUUUUUAUUCAUUGAAUGGCUAAGUUAUUUUUAGUUUUAAUCAUUCAAAUAGAAUGAAUUGAUGUCGGUGUUAACUUCCUUCGCUUAUUAUAUUCACAGUACCAUAACAUAACUUUCAAUUAAUUAAUCUUCUAAUUUUCUUGUCUCCCUUUUCUUUCCUUUUUCCAUCAAAAGAUCAAUGAUGUUUUUCUCUUAAACUUUAACCAAUUUAUAAGCAAAAGCAAAGAUCAAGUUUUCCCCGGGUAAAGCAAAUGUCAAGAUUUGACAGAUGGACCCUUAUAAAAUUUGGUACAAUGCAAAAGUAAUUAUGUAAAAGUGUGAUAUGUCUCGUCUUGGGACAAAUGGUACCAUGAACUACCUUGAUAAAUGGUUCAUAUAUAGUAGACUCACAUUUCAAAAUUGCUCAAAAUAUGAAUCAAGAUUCACGUCCUACUUGAAAGUAGAGCAGAGAUUCACGGUGAUCUUUGUUCUUUUGAGCAAGAUUUAACAACAAUGAAUGAAAAUAAUACGAGUUAAGUUUUGAGCACACAUUUACUUUCUCUUAUUUUUAUCAAAUAUUAUUGAUUAGGUCAUCGUUUCAUCUGUUAAAUUAAGAAUGACCGUGAACUUUUACUUCUCACUAGUAUUGUUGUCAUGUUCUUUUUUGAAAGACCAAAUUUAUUAAUAAGUUAAUCUCUCUUCAAGAUGAACAUAAACCAAGUAAAACAGAAAGAAAAUAACAAAAAGCGUUGUAUAUAGGCAAAACAUUAAAUAAAAAAACCCUUACACCUCAUCCAUAAAAACACCACUAAAUACACCAUCCAAUCCAUAACAUGUAUUUGGAAUAACCGUCAUUUUUGACUAGGUCAAAAGUUUUAUCAAAUAUUAUUGACUAGGUCAUUGUUUCAAUCCAUAAAAGAAGAUAGUGAACUUUUAGUUUUUCAUGUGUGUAAAACCAUCUAUUGAAGUGGUUUACAGUGAAAUUUUCAUAUCUUUAAUCCUUUUUUUUUAUAGGAAAAUAAAAAUUUUGUGCUAGAAGGAACAUGCUGCCUAAGUAUAUAUUCCUAUACAUAAACUGCAAUAUUUAUUUAAUCAUUUUAACCAAGUUCAUUAUCUUAUGCAAAGAAAUAUAAAUUUAUGAAAAUGUACUACUACUACUUGAAUAAAAAAAUAGUUGAUAUAUAAAUUGGCAAGCAUAUAUAUAUAUAUAUAUGUAUGUAUAUAUUCUUGUUUAAUUUUUGUCCAUCCACAUGAAGAUAUGCUAUGUACCUCCAAAGCAUCAAUCCCUAGCCAGCAGCCUCCUAGCUACUAGCUAGCUAGUUCACCAGAGCAGAAUUUGGCGUGAAGUGGAAACAAGUUGACCAUGGUGUGUGUACGGAUUUUUGUCUUUGUUUCGACAUCAUCAUCCAUAAAUGUCAAAGAGACAGAGAGUGGAAGCAACAGAACAAUGUGUCAACGUAAAGUACUGCAAAACUAAGCAUAUACUAUAGUAUACCACCAUCACUAUAUGAUUCAAUUCAUUCUUAUACAAUAAAUAUACAGUACUAGUACUUGACAUGAAAAAAAAAUACUAGUAAUAAAUAAAUGAUACACAAAAAUACAUAGUUUUAGUUGACAAACAUGUGAAAAAAAGUAGCCAUAUUUAUGGAACUUGAACAAGCAUCUCUUAAUGUUACAACCUCAACUAGCAAGGCUCAGGUUUGCAAAUAUACCCUCUUAAUAUUCCAAACUUCAAGAGAUAUGAUAAUUAAAUGCAUAUGCUUUUUUUCCUCACACUUAAAAUGCAUGAAAAUAAAAAUAUCCCAUUAAUUGAUUAAAUAAUAGCCAAUUCAUAUCCAUGGUGAAGAUCAAGAUUUCCAAUUAAGGAAGGAUAGGUUUUGUGAGAGUGACUGGUUGAUAGAAUGACAGUGGUGAUGAAGAAGAUGUUUUUGUUGAAGAUGGCAAUGAUGACAUGAUGAGAGCUUCAAUGUUAUACUCCACUUGAUGAUCAUUAUUUGGUGCAGCCAUAGUUUGAUGAUGAUCUUGUUUUGGACAAAUUAUAGCACCCUGAUAAUGAUCUGUAUUAUAACACUGAUCAGCAAUUUGGUUUACAACUUCAUGAUGAUGAUGAUCAUGUUCUUGUGAAGAAGCAGAAGAAGAAAAUGGGAUGCUACAAACAUAAUUAUCCUUAAUGGUUUCACUGUCAAAAACUUUUUGCACAAUAGGUUCAAGUUGAUUCACUAAAUGACUAUUACUGUCAUAGUGCUGCUGCUGCUGCUGCCAUGUAUAUGUAUUUGUAUUUGGAAUAUUGAUAAAAUUCUGAUCAACAAUAUUAUAGUUUUGGGUGGCAGCAUCACUUUUGGUGGUGAUUUGAUGAUUUUCUUGAAUAUUUGGAUUGAGAUGAUGAAUUAAUGACCAUGUAUCUAAUUCAUAUGAAGAUGGAAUAUUUGAUGAUGGUAGUGUUUCAGGCAAUAUUGGAUUAUUCUGAACAUGUAGGAAAUUGGGAUUAUAACUGUUGAUAUCAAUAUUUUUGAUAUCAUUUUGAUGAUCAAUACCUUGUAGGAUUGGAGUUGGGAUAUUGAUGGGAAGGUAAAGGUGGUUGUCAAAGUGAUAUUGAUGAUUGGAGUUAAGGAUAGGAUUGUCAUUAAAUAAAGGGAAGAAACUUUCAACAGAACCAUUUCUAGGACAGUGAAUAUCAGAAAAUGUGGCUAAAGAAGUGGGAACAAAAUCAUGUGAAAGUAGUUUCUUCUUUAUGCUUGAAUUCCAAAAGUUCUUCACCUCAUUAUCUGUUCUUCCUGGUAAAUGCUUUGCUAUCUGAGCCCACCUGUCCAAUUCCAAACCAUAAUUUCUUGUUAAGAUUGAUAUCAAAGAAAGAGCAAUAAUAUUGUUUAAAAAUGAAAAUAAAGAUGAAUUAGAGUUAUAUAGUAUAUACCUGUUUCCUAGAAUGGUAUGAAGUUCAAUAAUAAGAGCAGCUUCUUGUGGAGAAAAACUUCCACGUUUCAAAUCAGGUCUUAAAUAAUUUAUCCAUCUCAACCUGCAACUUUUUCCACAUCUCUGCAGUCCUGCAAGUUUAGGGACAGAACUCCAACAACCAUGUCCAUAAUUAGUGAUGUAGUUGAUGAGUUUUUCAUCUUCUUCUGGUGACCAUAGUCCUCUUUUCACCUUCUGUUUAUUGCAGCAAGAGUGAUGCCCCAUUAUUGUGUACUUCUCACUUUCUUUGAAUAAUAUCAAGGAUGAUGAUGAUGAUGAUGAUUAUAUUGAAAAAGAAUACUAAUAGAAAAGAUGAAAGGUGUAGGUUGUAUUAUAGGUUUAGCCCUAGGUCACAAAUGGUUAUAUAAAAAUGAGAAUAGAAUGGUUCUGAGCAGAAAACUGAACAGAAAAAAAAAAGGUUGAUAAUGGAAUUUUGGUGAAGUGAGAAGUGGUGAAUUUAAUGUGGGAUGAUGUACACCAUUGUGGACCAGUUAGGGUUUGUAGCAAAGGGCUAAAAGCUGCAGUGUCACCCUGCAACAUUUGUAGGCCCUAUAAUGGAUCUUUUUUCUUUUUAAUUUCUUUCCCUCACUCUCAGAUUGAUCAGAUGGGCUACCUUGUACACGUGUCAUGCAUGCAGACAUGUGGGUCCUAUGUCCUAACAGAUACACAUUGGCCAUUGGCAGAUUGAAGAAAGUUUUUCAAAGAGAGACCAUGGUGAAACUGAUUUGAUCACAAUUUUUGUGUGUGGAUGAUGGCUUUAGCAAUUUACUUGAAGUGUAGAGCAAAAAUCAUCAAUUUUGUUCAAUGAAUUUUUGUGUGUGGGUUGAUUUUCAUUUUAGGUUUUGAAAUUGUAAAGGUCAAUCAAUUUGAUUUGUUUAAGCUCUUUCUUUGAUUUGAACGAGUUGAUAUGAUAAAUAUUUAUGUGACAUGCUAUACGUGUUGACACGUCUAUGACACAUUUCAAAUACAAACCGAAGGUUAUAAUUUUGAAAGUAUAAAAUCCCUAACAUAUAAAUCUAAAAUCCUUAAUUUUAACAAUGUUCUAGUCUAUAUGUAAAUUUCAGAAACCAAAAUAAUCGAUCAUUAAAAAAAUUUGGACUAAAUUGAUGAUUUCUGUUGAACUGUAUUUAAUUUCAAGACUGAGCUAGUGUAUAUCUUUUCUUAAUUAAUGACAUGUGUGAGAAAAGUUGUAGGCAUGAAUGUUCUUGUUCUUGUAUCCAUUUUUUUUUUUUUUUAAGGAAUUGUUCUUGUAUCCAUAAAAGUUAGAUAGAGAUGCACACUAUAUAACUUCAAUAACAGAACUAUGUUAGAUUAAGAGUAUAGAUAGAAAAACUUAGUAUAAGUUAUAACAAUUACAUUUUUUUUUGUUGGAUUCAAUCGUUAGCAAAUAGUUAUAUGCGACUAAUCCGGCUCAUGCGUGGAGACAUGUAUACUGGCCAAGUUUCUUUAACCAUUGAUAAUUUUUUUUUUUUUUUUUUUUGUGGAUUCAAUCAUUAGCAAAUAAUUAUAUUCUCCGGAUACGUCUUUGAAAGAAGCUUCUUAUCACUGAAGCUCAAACAACUUAAUUUAUACUUUUAAUUUUGAUAUAGAACCAACGUAACGAACAUUACACUGCACUAUCACUAGUUAAUAAUCUUAUAUGUGAGUUUUAAAGUAGCUAUCAUAAAAGUUAAUCAAUUUUACUAAAUUAACAAUUAUGAUUGAUUGGCAAGGUAAAAAUAUUUAAACUCACCUUAUAUAAAUUAAACCCAAUAAUUAAUACAAGUUGUUUUCAAAAGUUGCAUAUGAUUGAAGGUAGUUUUUAAUUACCGUAAAAAAAGGUAGCUUUUUAUUCUUUAGUAAAUAUUUCAUAAGCCAAUAAGUUUUUUUUUUUUGGAGAGAAAUGAACCAACUUGAAGAUACCUAUUAUUAGAUAUGUUGCAUGCAUGUAUAAAGUUAAAAAUCUUGAAUGAAAAGCAUCAGAAUUAAAGGUAGUCUUGGGGAGACAAGGGUGGCCAAGUCCUUGAAUCAUACAUGACCAAAUUAAUGUUUUUUUUUUCUCAUAAUUUUUUUCAAUCAAAAGUUGCGCUCCUUCAGCAUCUUGGUCCUCAUCAUUCAUCAAUAUAAAUAACUUCUUUAAAUAUUUUAUUUUCUUAAACUUUUUUUGAUCGUCUUUAUUUUCUUAAACUAUGAAUUUAUUAUUUAAUUUAUAUAAAAAUAAAUAAAUGCUAAUCAACAUAACUUUUUUAAUGCAUUAUUAUGUUUUUAUAGUGUUGUAUUUUUUGGUAAUUUUAUUUUAUAUUUCUAAAUAGCAUCCUUAAAUAGACAUUACAAGUGUCCUCGUGAGCUUAGCUCACUUGACUUGGACAAUGCAUAAUAUAUGCAAGGUCCGGGGUUCAAACCCCGGCCACUACCAAAAAAAAAAAUAUUAGACAUUACAGGUUUUCUUGUUGGAUUCAUACAUAAAUUUUUUGUGAGAAUGUAUUUAUUAAAAGAGUAAAUUACACUCCCCUCCCCUCUAAGAUGCUUGAAUUACACUUCUCUCCCCUCUUAUGUUAAAAUAUACAAUCCCCUCCCCUCUUAUGUUAAAAUAUAUAAUCCCCUCCCCUCUUAUUCAAAACAUAUUAGAAAACUUUACACCCCCUCCCCUAAGAGAAGCUUGAAUUACAUUCCCCUCCCCUCUUAUAUUAAAAUCUACACUUUACUCCCUCAAUUUUUUUUUAUUUCUAAUAAUUUAGCAAAAAUAAUAAUAAUUAACACACUUCGGAAAAAAAUUGUAUUACGGGUCUAUUUUAAUAUAAUAAAAAAUUGAAUACAUAUUUUUCGCUAUUUUUUAUUCACAAUUUGAUUAACAUGUAGUUUUAAACUCUAUUAUAAAAUAUGAAACAACCCAAAAUAAAAUUAAAAUAUGUAAAAAAUUACUAAAGACAAUAAAAUAGGGUUAUUUGAAAGUUAAUUUUAUACUCUAAAUUAUUAAAUCAAUAGCAAAAUAUUUAAAUUUAAUUAUCAUUGACAUUUAAAUUAUAAAGAAAUGAAUUAUUUUUUCUUAAAAGGUGGCUCAAAAUUAAAAUAUAUCAUAAAAAAUUUUAUUUAUGUUAAAUAGAUUAAAGUGUAGAUCAUAUUUACUUAUUAAAGGAGGGGAUUGUAAUUAAGCAUCUUAUAAAUUUACUCUUAUUAAAAUGGUUAGUAAUAUAUAUUGCAACAUAAAUUUAUGUAGAGGCAAUGUCAUCAAAACAAGCUAAUAAUAAUUUUUGUUUGACAAAUGCUAAUAAUACUUUAAAAGUAGUUCUUUUUUAUUUUUUAGGUUUUAAGGACAUACGUGGGAUGAUCCAAAGAAAAUGGUACACAUGAAGUUUAGAAAAUUCCUCCAAAAAAAACUUUAGAAAAUUGCCACCAAACGCGGUCAAAGGUAGUGAUUAUAUGCUGGAUUGCUUAAUUAUCACAUGUUCCGUUUUGAGGGAAACAUGAUAUAUAUCAUAUUUUUUAUAAUUGUCAAAAAAGUUUUUGCUAUAUUUUUAACUUUUUUUUUCCUGGGUGCCGUAGUAAAGAAAGAAGAAAAAUUGUAAGGAAAAUGCUAAGUUUUUUUUUUUGACAAAAACUAAGUUGACAAAAUAGAAAUAAUUGAUGAGUUUAAUGAAACGAUAGUCGAUUUUUAAAAUUUCACGGUAAUAAAUGCACAAUAUUUAAGAUAAAGUUUUUUCAUUAGACUCAUUCCUUCCGUUUUAAAAUAUAAGCAAAAUUCACUUUUUAGGUUCAUUCAUCUAAUGAUGUAUGUGGUUCAUAUACAUCAUUAGAUGAAUGAACCUAAAAAAUGAAUUUUGCUUAUAUUUUAAAACGGAUGGAGUAUUAUUAAAUACUCUAAGAACACUUAUUAUUCUUUCCUCUUUUUAGAACUGCGCAUAUAAAGAAGGGUACUAUAGCAUCGUAUCCAAAUUAUAUCCAAUAUCAUCCCUAUCUUUUAAAGUGUAUGGAUACAAACACUUGGAGUUGCUAGCCAUGUAGGCAUGUAUACAUAUUUUUUUUAAAUGGAAAUGUUAAAUGAUAGUCUUGAGGCAUUGGAGUAAAUAGUCAAUUUUCUCUAUGAAAUUAUAAGUUUCAUCAAUUACCUCUCUGAAAUUAACAAAACUUUAAUUAUCCCCCUGAAAUUUCACAACGUUAGUCAAUUUACCCCCUCCGUUAAAUUUUUCUGUUAGUGAACAUGACGUUUUGCAAAUACCCCCCUGAAGUUUUGCACUUAUGUGCAAAAUGCCCCCAAACUUAAAAACUUAUAUUAUUUUUUUCUUAAAAACAAACAAUUAAUAGUUAAAUAUUAAAGCUAACUAUUAAUUUUGGAAUUUGGAAAAACUACAUACAUAUAUACAUCAAAAUAGGGAAAAAUGUGUAUUUUUAAAGUGACAAUAAUGGUUAUUUCUAAUAGACAAAUUAUUAUUCUUAGAGGUUUAUAAACAAAUUAAUAAUCAGAUUUAAAUUUAUAUUUUCUCCUUCAACAUCUUAGUCUUUUAACUCCUCCAACUCCUUCAACAAUUUGCUCAAACCAUUUAAACUACAUAACCCCCAAUAUUAAUCCACAAAUCAUCCCAUUAUUGUCACUUUAAAAAAUACAUAUUUUUCUCCAUUUUUGAGCCUAUUUUGAUGUAUAUAUGCAUGUAGUUUUCCCAAAUUCCAAAAUUAAUAGUUAGUUUUAAUAUUUAACUAUUAAUUGUUUGUUUUCAAGAAAAAAAUAAUAUAAAUUUUUAAGUUUGGGGGGGCAUUUUGCACAUAAGUGCAAAACUUCAGGGGGGUAUUUGCAAAACGUCAUGUUCACUAACAGAAAAAUUUGACGGAGGGGGUAAAUUGACUAACAUUGUGAAAUUUCAAGGGGGUAAUUGAAGUUUUGUUAAUUUCAGGGGGGUAAUUGAUGAAACUUACAAUUUCAGGGGGGAAAUUGACUAUUUACUCUGAGACAUUGGUUAAUAGAACAAAAGUAGAAAAUAUUAUAUUGUAAAAUAGUAAAAUGUGAUAAAUUUAACUUAAAAAAAAUUAAAAAAUUGUUGAAUUUAAUACAACUUUACUAUUUUGGAUUAAUAGUGUUUUACCCCCUUGUAAUAUAAGUCAUUUUCGAUUUUACCCCCUGUAAAAUAUUUUUUUUUGGAUUUCGUCCUUGUAAUUUGAAUAUUUUUGGUUUUGGACCUUCAUGAAUUUUGACUGUACAAAAUCGAAGAUAUACCAGGGGGUAAACUGAAAUUUUCUCAAAUUAACAGGGGGUAAAUCGAAAUUUGCUCAAAUUAUAAGGGGGUAAACCUAAAUUUUCUCAAACUACAGGGGGUGAAAUUUUUCAUGAAGGUCCAAAACCAAAAAAUCUUCGUAUUACAAGGAUGAAAUUCAAAAAAAUUAUUUUACAGAGGGAAAAACCAGAAAUGACCUAAAUUACAGGGGAUUAAAGCACUAUUAACCCUACUAUUUUUGAUUUCUUUAACAAAUAUUCUAAAAAUAUUUAUUAGCAUAACCUUUUUUAAAUCGUAGGUAUAAAAAAGGGUACUACAACAUCCUACCCAAACAGUUAGGAUACGUUAACAAAAAUUUAUAAUAAAACUUGUAUGUAUGUAAAAUACUUGAAGAAAAUUAACAUUGAUUACUCUUCAUUAUUGUAUUAUUAUAAAAGUUAUAAUUUUUAAAAAAUAAUACAUGUGAUGAAUUUUUAUUUUUUUUAAGUUUUCUUAUAAACCAUAUUACAUUUUCAUAUGUUGGGAUAUUGAGAGAAACAUCAUUAAAAGAACUCAACACAAAUUUUAUCUAAUGUUGAUUAACUAAAUCAUAUUUCUCGCUACGUUCAUCCACAAUAAGUAUAAUUUUAAGUGUUUCAUCGAGAAACAAUUCUAUUGAUGCAUAUCUAAAAUUGAGUCACAUACAUCUAUAAUGAAUUUUUACAACAUUGUCUCACUUUUUUACUCUUCAUCUUUUUCUAGGAUACGUGUUUGUGAAGUAUCCCAUAAGUAUCCGAUAAAAUGUUUAUUAAAAAUUAAAAUAAUCAAUUCUGAUACUUCAUGGAUACGUAUCCGCGAGUAUCCGUGGAGUAUCGGUAUUCCAUACGUAUCCAGUAUGGGUACGUCUCCGUUUUGGAGUAUUCGGGCUUCAUAGCUAUCUUUUAAAGUGUUCUCACUUGAAUUAAACAUUUUACUGAACUGCUUCUUAAGAACAUCUCAUAUUGAUAUUACAAAUUAAGUGUGGGCCUAUUUUGAUUAUUACUCCGUUAAAACGGAAAAAUUAGGGCCACAAAGUGAAAAUUAUUGAGAACCUUGAAAGUAAUCUCAUUGUCAUCAAUUGCUUUCAAAUGAUGCUUGGGUGUACGAAUCAAACUCAUAGAAAAACAUUAUCGACUGCUUAUUACCUAGGUGAAUAAAUGCUUAAGUAAUGAUGAUUAAUUCCCUAAAAAAAAAAGUAAUGAUGAUUAGUCAUUCUUAUUCUUAUUGAGACCAACCAAGUUUAAUUGACAAGUGACAUUAUUAAGUACGAACGUUCUAAAUUUAUGUAAAAACUUGGAGGGCCAUAUCUUCGAGAAGAAGAUACAUUGUAGUAUGAUGUUACUAACGUUCUAAAUUUAUGUAAAAACUUGGAGGUCAUAUCUUUGAGAAGAAGAAAUAUGUAGUAUUAUGUCAUUCAAAUUUGGAAAGUGAUAGUAAAUCAAAGAUAUUAGUAUCAGAAAGAAGAAAAACAAUGAUGCGAUUUAAUCAAGAGAACUUAUCCCGACCAAGAAAAAGGAUAUGCUCAAAACUUCAAUCACAUCAUUCUCUCUCACAUUGCGUAUGAGUCUCGAAAGAUAAUUUUCCACCGUGGUAUGCAAUUAAUUACUCCCUUUAGUCUUGAAUAUAAGCAACAAAACAAAAAAAUUGAUGGUCUUGAAUAUAAAAAAGAAAAAUGUUGACAACUUCUAUCAUAUUUAAUGUUACUAUUCCUAAAUUAUCCUUUAAUUAAUGUGAUUUUAUUUUUUUCUUUUCAUGGAACAAGUUCUCAUGGAUGAUAAUUUAGAAAUUACAAUUGUAUUUUUUAUAAUUUUGAGAGAAAUAAAUGACACCAACUAAUUUUCUUAAAAAGUGUAAAAUAAAAUUUGUUGCUUAUAUUCAAGAUCAAAGGGAAUAUAUACUCUAUUUGCCCUCUUUCUUUACCAAGUUUUUUAUAUAUACUCUGUGUUCCCGAUUAUCUGUUAUUUUAAGGGUAUUUAAACAUAUCACGAAAGAAAAGUAAAAUGUGAGUUUUACUUUGAAAAUGAAAAGUAAAUAGAAACAAAAGUUUUCUACAAAAGAGACAAGUAAAAGUGAAAAAUUGAAGAAUUAAGCAAGCAUCUGUUGAUCGUUAUGAAAUUAAUUUUUUAGUAUAGAUUUGUUGCACAAGGCAUAAGUGAUUACUUUUUUUUAUAAGGCAAGAGCAAAUGACAUCAAAAAGAGUGACACCCAAUUAAGUUGGUACCCAAUUCUAAUCUUUUGCUAAAUGCUCAUAUAUAUAUUACUAAAAAAGGGGAAAAAUACAUAAAAAAAUUGGGGGACAUAAACCUAACCAGAUUAUCCACAAAAUGUAGUUCUACCCAAACAGGUAAUAUGAAAAUUAAAAACAACACAAAUGGAUCAAAACAGCCUCUUAAGUAGAGGUCUAGAUCGUGGUGAAUGGACCAACCGUCAAAGCAAAUACCAAAUAAGUCCCUCCUUCUGGCGCGGGGAGGAAUAGUGGAAACUUUUUACUAGAAUCGCAACCACCAUACUGAAACAUCUGGAUCAACACAACAGUUCGUCCUAUCAGAUCUUGAAGAACGACGACAACCUUGAGGAUGACAACGACGGUAGGUUGGGAAUUCGAGCUGAAGCUUGAUCUCGAAGAGGAAAACGUCUAAUCUGACACGUCUACUAAACAGUUUUGAUUGAGACCUCUUUAAAUCGACCAACACGCAGCGAGACCUAGGAGGAUGGACCAGAGGAAUAAUCGGAUCUGAAAUGUGACCCGGAUCUAAUGGAUCCUACCCGAGAGGGUUUUAGAGAGCUUUAUUUAGCAAAACUAACAUCGUCGGCGAUGAAAACCAUAGAAUCAAUCAAUAAAAUGACAAGAUCAUGCGCGGAAUCAGUCGUUGUAGAACCACCAAACAACAAGAAACCCAGAUCGAAGCUUUGUAACAAAGUCUUAAUCUUCAACCCACUAGAGACCACCGACCAGGCCAACAGUGAAAUCUCCGGCAGAUUCAGGAAAUGAGGUGGUGAGGGAGGCUUACUGCCAACCAUCACACUAGCUACCCACGAGUGCAGCUACAUUGAAGGAAUAUGAGGGUAGGGAGGGGGGUGGCGCGUUCACCCUUUCCAUAAGUGAUUAAUUAGGUUGUCCAAAUUCUAUGAAAAUAUCGAGUAUAAUAUUUACGUGAAGCUAAUCAAACGACCCAUUAUUUAGCAAAGUUUGCUAUUUAUUCUCUAACUUAUUUUUUAUGGAUGGAAGAGAUUCCUCAUUGUAUUGUAGCUGUAGUGACACUUGAUUUAUUGCCAUCUUUUUGGUUAAUACAAUUAGUUAUUUCAAUUUUUUUUUUACUUAUUGAUAAUUAUAUCUUUAUUUUGACACUUUAUACAUUGAUAUUUUGCUUAUAUAUAAUCACUUAUACUAUAUAAGUUUGUCUUGAUUAAUCAAAAUUUAUGGAGCCGCGCGUCUCUAUUCACGAGGAAUAAAAGUUAUGUGCAUUUUUCUAGAUGAGUUAUCUGAUGUUUUUUUUUUUUUAAUAUUUAAAAUACACUUUGGUUGUUAAAACAAAUGAGAAAAUUAUAAAUUUAAAGAAAUCAUCAUAGUUGUGAAUAUUUAAGUGAACAAAGUAAAAAUUAAAGGGACAAAUUUCUUGCCAAAAAGAAAACUACAUUUAAACCUGCUAUUUUGCAUAUUCAUUUUGUUUGGAUAAAGGAUGAAAAGUAGCUUUGCAAAAGUAUAUGCUUUUACACCCUAUUUAGGGAUUCCAUCUAGGCAUGGCAACAAAACCCAUACCCGUGGUUACCCGCCCGAACCAAAUCUAAUUUGACGGGUUUUUCUGUUUUGACUGGGUUUGAGUAUGGAUUUUCCCCAAAACACGGGUAUGAGACGGGUAACGGGUAUAUAAGUACCCACCCCGAACCCAUACACAAACCUGUCCCAAAUGUAAAAAAAUUACUUUAUGUUGAUAUGUUAUGUUAUUUUGUUUGAUAAUUGUCAUGUUAAUAAAAACUACCAUUGAUAUUUAAAGGAUCAACUAAAUCAUUUUGUCUAACAAAUGUGAAAGUGAGCUUAUUGUUGGAUAAUGUAUUACAACGUUGCUCUUGGGGAUGCUAAAAAACUUCUAUUUUUUAUUAAAAAAAUUAUUCAAUGUGGGGACGGGGAUGGGGCGUGGAUACCCGAACCCGUCAGGAACGGGGAUGUGAUUCAAUUUAUCAUCCCCGUUGGGUAUGUGUAGGGUAACAGAUAAGUAUAUGAGAAUCAUAUAUGGGGAUGAGGAAGGUAAAACCCGUCCCCAUCCCGCUCCAUUGACAUUCCUAAUUCCAUCUAAAGCAGUGCUAAAAAAAUGGUUCGAAUAAUCCUUUUUGGUUGGAUGAUCUUAAUUAUGAAAUGAAACUAAAAUACUACUCUCUCCUUCCCAUUUUAUACAAAUACUUUACGUAAAAACAUGUGUAUUAUGAAAAAUUGUUAGAGAAAUAAAUUUGUUUGAAAUGUGGGACCUACUAAAUUGAUUGUAACGAGUAAUAAAUACAUCACCAGAUCAUUUGUCGUGAAUCUUAUACUCAGCGGCGAAGCUAGCAAAAAAUUUAUGCAGGGGCUAAAUAUAAAAGAACAAUAAAAUAUUUUUAAAACAAAUAUAUUAAAUUUAAGGAUAAAAAUGUUAUUAGUCCUAUAGAUUAUAAUUUUUUAGGUUUAGUCCUUAUAAAAAAUUUAUUCAAUUUUUGUCUCGAUUAUUUAAAAUUUUACAAAAAAAAAAGUGUUUUUAGUCUUGUAUUUAAUCUAUAACUAAAAAUUAAAGACUAAAAUCAAACAAAAUCUUAGAAACAUAACUCAAAAAUCGCACGUGUUGUAAAGACUAAAAUCAAGUUUAAUCCAAAAAUUAAUCAACACAUUCAAAAAAUCACAAUAACUUUUACUUAUAUGAAAUGUAAACUAAAGUAACAACAAAUGAUAAAAAUUGACAAUAGCUAUUUAAAAAAGUUGGAUAAAAUGCAUUUCAAGAAGCCAAUUUUAUCCAUAAUUGAUCAUUUUACUAAAUAGAUUAAUAAUGUCUUUUCCAAUGUAAACAAAUAGUUUAUUUGCAAGAAACUCAAUGUCCAUUUAAUUUGUUUAUGACUAUUGUCUUUAAAAUUUUUACUCUUGAUUUUUUUUUUCUCAUAUAAAUAAAUUUAUCAAUCAAGUAGUAAUGCAUUUACUUUCUUAUUCAUGCUAAUAUUCGGAAACUGAAUUUGUUUGGUGUAGCUGAAUGUUUAUUAUUUGGGGGUAGCUGAAUAUAAAUUUAUGCAUAUUAAGAAAUGUAAUUGAUUUUGUGUGAGAAAGAAAUAUUAUGAGUUGUUUUUAGAGCUGUCAAAACAGGUUGUGCCGUAUGGGCCGACCCGUUUAGACCGAUUAAUUAUAGGGCUUGGGCCUUAAAUAUUGAGCCCGAAUUUUAAUAGGUUUUUUAGCCCAGCCCUAAAAAGCCCGGUACCCGUUAGGACUAGCCCGAACGGGCCGCGGGUAGCUCGUUAGCCCGCAUAACAAAACAAUCCUAUAAAUUAUAUAUAUUUUUCAAAUAAUUCUUUACUUUGUUGAUUAAUAAAGUAAAAAAUAAAAGUGAAAAUUCAAUGAAUUAACACAUAUGAAUGUAAUAUAAAAUUACGAGGAAUGCUAGCUGCUAAACACACGCUACCCUAUUGGCCCACGUAACAACUUUUUUAUGAGUAGUAACCUGUUUACCGGCUCAACAGGUUGUUCUUUUAACAUUUUUUUUUUUUUGCAUGAACAAAUAAUUCAUGUUUCCACCAACCUUCAAAUAACCUCCAUUGCUUUCUUAUUCUUUCUCUUCUGUAAAGAUCAGUCCACCAUUAACGUGUAAAAUCCUUAAAAAAAAGAAAAUCCACCACCAUGAAUUUCAAUUUUCACAAAGGAGGUCCAAACCUUUAUCUAACACCAAACCCUCACAAUAAUCAUACAAAUCAACUUAGAUCUAGAUCUGGAUCUAGUUUUGAUUUGUAAUUUAUUCAAAAUAUGAUUGUGCAUCAAAUCAACACAGUAAGAUAUGGAUUUCCUAUUUUCAUUUACAAACACACUUCUGUUGCUGGUGAGGGUUCUCGAAUGCGGUUUUGAGAAGACGAGAGAUAAAGGAGAGUGUAGUAGUGAUCAGGUGAGUCAUGAGCAAAUGAUAAUUGAACAUCGUUUCUUUCUUUCUCCUCAACAUCAAUGGUGAUUCUGGAUCUGGGUAACAGUAUCUUUCCAAGGAAGAAGUUAUGAAAAAUGCUGGUAUUGGUAAAAAAAAAAAAAAAGUUCAGAAAAUUAUUAUCUAAUUUAAUUAAUUAAAUAAUUAAAAAGCAAAAGUAAAAGUGUUGGAAAAACAUCCGGUAACCAAAAAUAUGUUGAUGACGUGGCUCUUUAUUCGAGAGAGUGUGCUUAACGAGUGCCAAAGCAAUUGUUGCUAGCACAGCUCUAAAAUUAUAUUUAUUCGUUUCGUUAUUUAUAAUUUUAAAGAUCAAAUAUAUAAAUAUUUAUAACUUUUUUUUAGGGAAGUAAAUAUCUAUCUAUAAACAUAACGUAUCUAAUUUAUUUAAAAUUGUUUUCCUCGCCGUUUUAGUUUACGACUAGUGUAUCAAAAUGUUUACAAUUUAUUUUUGUGCUAGACAUUAUUUAAAAAUAUUAAAAAAUUAUUUAUAAAAAAAUCUAUAGGAGUAUUUUAUAGUACUUUUUAUAUAAAAAAAAUGUAAUUUUUAAUACGGGCCGGCCCGUGUAGGGCUGGACUCAGGUAGUAUAUUUCAAGCCCGUUUUCUAACCGGGCUUUUUGGCCCGGUCCAAUAAAGCCCGAAACCCGUUAGGGCCGGGCCGCCCAUUUUGACAGCUCUAGUUGUUUUACAAAAUUGUUUUUAAUAAAUGAUAUAUGAUAGAUAAAUGAAAGGAUUGAAAUAAGAUAGAGUAAUAAAUAGUAAAGUUAUAAUAGGAAAAGUAACAUUAAUGUUUCAUUGAUAUUACAAAGCAAAAAAUAAUUUGGGACAAUUUUUUUCUUUCAAAGAUAAUAUAUAAUUUGAAAUGAAGGAGUAUUUAAGAACAAUUAUAUUUUUGUAAGUGAUCUUAUAAUUAAAAAGAGAAGGUACUAUGAAGUUUUUGUUAGCUGGUGAAAUUUGGAUGCUAGCCAUGAACUUGAUGGUUUACGACAUACUUAUCGUUUUGUGUUGACCUUGGCUAAAGCAAGACUGCUUUUACAAUUGGAAUGCGGUUGGAAUUUUGCUUUUUAUAAAAGUAAUCAUAGACAAAAUCUAGUUUUAUUUAUUUUUACAAUCUUUAAUUUUUUUUUUUUUUUAAAGAAUCUUAAGAAAAUUAGUUAAUCACAUUUUAAUUUAUCAGAAAAUGUAAUUGAACUUUCAAAUGAAGGGCAAUUUGGAAUAUUUAAUGUCUUAUUAAACAUUGAAUUGAGAAAUAUCAACAUGAUACAAAUGUAUAUCAUACCUUUUAUCCUAACAACUAAACGAGUCUUAAACGAUAUUAUAUAGUGUUUUGGACUGGGUCAAGCCCAAAUCUAGCAUAUGAAUAAUAGGUUGCUCCAAAGAUGUCUUAGUCUCAACCAAUGAAAAUAGGACACAUCAUUUAAAUUUAAUGGAGGUGCACUUUCAAUUGCAUAUUUUGGUAAUAGAACCGUUUGAAAAAAUGGUUGAACAUGAUCUAGAGAGACAAUAAAAAAGAAAUUGAAUUUUUUAUAUUACAGUUUUUUAAAUUUAAAUGUUGUGUCCUAUUUUCACCGAUUGAGAUUAAAUAUGAGGUGUUAGGUGAGAGACCAUGCAAGAAUUUCUCUGUUAUGAACACGUCUUAAAGCCACACCCAAGCAGGUAUUGUGUGAAGAUUUAUCAAGGCGGCAUGAUGAAGAUCACAUUAUUAUCUAUUUACAAGUACAACCGUCACACAAGGCACUACCUUAAUUAGGGUUUCCAUCCGAUAAUCCCGAAUCCUCCUUCUAUAAAUGCUAACUUAUAGCUAAGUUAAAUAAAUUUUUUGUAAACCCUAAAAUCACACUGACACACAUACGACCCUUAACUGAUUUGAUUAUCACAGUAAUUGCAGAUGCAUUACCCCCUUCAUGAAGCAACCAUCAUCCCCACCCAUCUAUCAAGUCCACCUAACAAGAGAUUUUUGUUGCUAAUAUUUGAGAUUAGUGAGAGAAUAUUUCAAUGUUCUUGUGACUUGAAAUGAAAUGUAUAUAAAUAUAAACGAUUUUAUUGCUUAAUUCAUGUUCUAAUGUAUAUAAAUAUGCAUGCAAAUACAAAAUUAGUCUUGUAGGUUCAAAUUCUUUAUUUUUGGGUGUUCCGCCGUAUAUAUACGACACCUUUUGUUUGUAUUCUCAGUUUCACUGAUCUCUGUUCGUCUUGAAUAGGGAUUAGGUUGUUUAAUAAAAUUUGUUGUUUCAAAAAAAAAAACCACUUUUACAUAAAUAUGUAUGAAUAUAUAUAAUUUUAUAUUCAAUUUACUUUGAAUCAAAAUCAAUUAAUUUAAAAAUCAGUUACGUUUUUACGUACUAGAACCAAUCACACGUGGCCCAUUUGUUCUUUUGGUUUAAAUUGGAUAUAAUCUAUGCGUAACUGCAUAUACUAAUUCAUUGAAUCGAGUAACUGUAAUAGAUGAUAAAACUCUCAUUCAAGAGACAAGAAAUUUAACAUUGUUUCAUUCUCAAGGCUGGAUUCAAACCCAAAAUAUCUGAUUAAGCAGAAAGAGUGCAUUCCAUUGAUUUUAAAGAAAGAUAUAUACUCCAAUGGAAUGCAUUCGUUUAAAGAAAGAAAUAUUAGCAACAUAAAUGGAAUGCAUUCCAUUAAUUGAGAGAAAAAGUUUUAGAGAUAUAUAAUAAAGAGAGUGCUAGUUACAAGCUGACAACAAGGGGGGCAACAUGGAGUUCCUUGUAUUUUGUUGGUUAUGAGAGAAAAAGUAUGAGCAUGGGAAGGUUAUGAUGGAAGAAAAAGAGCUAUAGUUAAAACAAAGAUUCCUAAUUAAUAGUUGCACAUGCAACAUUUAAUACCACUGGCCUCUUUUGCUUUAUUUGUUGAGCCAUCAAAGGACUCUUAUCAUCAGAAUCUUUUGUUUUUCUCCCAAAAUUAUAGAGAUAUGAAAACAAGUACAUGAAAGAAUGCUAUGUAAUUCUUUGUCCUCUCCUGAUUUCUGAUUGGUUUUGGUAUGGGUCCUUUUCAGUCAAAUGCUAGUUCUUUUGAUUUUCUGCUUAUUUUCUUCAUCUCUUUUUCCCUUCUUGAGAGGGUGAGGAAUUCAUCAUACAAGGAAAGCAAUCAAUGUACAUUGUACCUUGAGUUACAAUGAGAACCCAAAUAAAGAAUGGCAUCUUGCUCACCUAAAACUUAUCUUCAAAUCUCUUGUGCUAUGUAUGCUACCAUGGUAAAUAACAAGAAUUAAUUUUGUAUACUUUUAACGGGAAAAUUAUAUAAUUCUCAAACUUAAAAUUGAAGGUGAACUUCCUAAAAAUGAUCAGGAGAUAAACAAAUGUCAAGAUUUAAAUGUUGAAAAUGCCUUAAAAUCGUAGUUUUUAAAGUCGUUGUACCCAUGUGUCUUUGUCGCAUGAGUGGGGUUGCACAACCGUGACCUGUUAUUUAAGAAGGCAUUUUCAACAUAGUUUUUAGUGUGAAAAAGUGGGAAUUCUAGGGUUACCAAAGAGGGAUUUUUAGGGUUAAAAAUUGAGAGUUUUUGGGAAAAUUCUAGGGUUGGGAAACACUUUUGUAUAUCUUGGGGAUAAAUUAUCGAGUCUCUUGGUCACGGGAAACGACUCAAACAAAAAAAGUAGAAAUUAAGGUUUGUUCUUGUAAAAUGUUGAUUUCUUGUAACCCUUAUAUCCCUUAUAUCAUCGUGUUUUUUUUAUUCUCCUUUAUCUUAUUGUUUGUUAUCACUUUGAUUUGAUUGCCACUAAUUAUGUUCAAUAUCGAGAUUUUUUCCGUUUGAAAUUUAAUUGUUUAUACCUAAAAUUUAGAUGAAUUGACUAUAAUUCAAUUUCCACACAUUUAGCUUGAGACCGCACUAAUGUUAAAAUUAUCUCUUGAGAGAGAAAAUUUACUCUUCAUUAUAGUUCUACUCAACUCAGAGGAUUGAUAUGCGCACUUGCGUGCAAAAGAUUUUUAAUUAAAUUGAUUUUUUUUAAAAAAACUCUGUUAUAGAGUUAUAGGGAAUUGUACGAAGAUUGAAACAUUACAAUGACCAAUAUAAAAAAAAGACAAUCUAUGAGAUUUCUUAAUUGGAACUAACAUAUUUGUUUUAGAUUAUGUUGAAAUUUAUGUUAGGUGUUUAAAUUGACUCGACUCUUUAAUAAUUGAAGAUUAGCCACAAUCAUUCAUCUCUAUGCCUCUAUGUUUAUGUUUAUGUUUGUUUUUUUUUUUUUUUGACAAAACAAUCAAGAUGUUGUAACUAUGAAAGAAAUCAAUUAACUAUGGUGUAAUAGUUUACUCCACCUAAGUAGUGAGUGAACUAAAUCUAAAUCCAUCGCGUAUAUGUAAAAAAAAAUUACUACAUUGAUCUCUACGACACCAUGAUUUAUAUCACAGUGAUCAUGAUCACGAUGUUUAUGCCGAUCAAAUUCUAUAAUCUGAACUGCAUAAGGCGUGUGAGAAAUCAAAUAGGACGGAAAAAUGAACGUGUCCAUAUUGUUUAUAAAGCAAAGAGACAAGACUAACAUUGCCCCACAAAAAAUAUAAGAGAUAUCGAAGAAAAUACUAAUGGUAAUGGCCCUUCUAUAAGGUCCCAUUGCCCCUAUCCUACUUGGUCUUCCUUCUACUCAUAGCAAGCCUCCAUGAAAGGAAGGUUUCACACUUACUCCAAAUUGAAAAAAGCAUCUCAUACUCACUUUUACUUUCCUUCACUUCAAAAUCCCAUCAAAUUACAUUCAAUUUUUUUGUUUACAACUUUAGGUGGCAUCCUGAUUUCUUGCCAUUGUCAGCGCAUAUGCUUACGUGGGAAGGGAAGCCUAUUAACUGAAUAGCACCUUCGUCUUGAUCAAGUAGGCCAUGGAGGAUAUAUAGGGAGAAAAGUCAAAUUAAACUUUAAUGUAGUAAUAACUUGAGAUACUCUCGAAAGCCUUAUCAAAAUGAUACUAUUUAAUGUUUAUGGUUCUGAAGUUGACCUUUGAACCAUUUGAUGUCAUCGUUUGGUUUAUAGUAUAUUUUUAACUUUUCAAAUUUAGUUAGUUUUUGAAAUUGUAGUGAUCGAUUAGUUUGAUAUCUCACAUUAAAGAGAUUAAUCAAUUCUUCAAGAUUAAUGUAAAUGAAAAUGAAAAUACAUUUCACACUAGUUUUGCGGGACACUUUAAAAACUAAGUAUGCAUGUGUUUGGUUCUACGGUUGUACAAAUAAAUUUUAAAACAACUGAUUAGGUAAAAUAGAUUCUGAUCAAAAGUAUGUUAAGUAACAAAUUGUUUGACAACUUAGUCAUUUAAAGCACCUUCACCAUUUAGGCUCGACACUCAAGAGUUGUGUUUAAUACCCAAUAUUUUAUGAUCCAAAUAUUUUAAGAUAACCAUCACUGUAGGAUGACAUCCAUCACCAUCACAAAAAAUCCACCACCUUCAACCUCUCCCGAGUUGAUUUGUGUUCUAGAUUAAAAUAAUGUAAAAUGAUUUAUAUUUGAACAUGUUAAUGGAAAAGUGGAUAGGAAAAUAAAUUCAAAGCUAAAUAUUAAUUUUAAAAGCUAUUCAAUUAUAUUCGAAAACAUCUAAAUAUUUCAAAACCAAUUCUAUACAUCUAUAAUUAAUUUUGCCUUUAUUUAAAUGUGAAACCAAACAUACACUAAAUUGAAGGACUUAUGAGAACUAUAAUAAUGAGCUCAAAGAGAUUCAAUUUCAUAGAUAUAGAUAUUAAUAUAUUUUUUUAUUAAUUUUAGAUUUUAAAUUAUCCUAAAUUUACAAUUUUAUUGAUUAAAUUUAUUGAUGUAUUUUUUUAAAGUCAUAAUUUGUUGAUGUAUUUGCAAUACACCAAGAGGAGAAAGACACAUCAUCACCCUCUAUGGUUAGUUAGAAUAAAUGCCAUAGCAGUUUACUGAGCUUACUUAUAUCACAAGUCAUUAAUAAUUAAUUAAGAAUUAGUUGAUUAGAGACCAAACUAUGAUUAACUACGUACUUAUAUAUUACACCAAGAGGAGAAAGACACAUCAUCACCAUCUAUGGUUAGUUAGAAUAACUGCCAUAGUAGUUUACUGAGCUUAUUUGUAUAUCAAGUCAUUAAUUAAUAAUUAAUUAAGAAUUAGUUGGUUAGAGACCAAACUAUGAUUAAGUACAUACUAGGCCGUAUGAUAAGGUGUACCAUGCUAUUCUUACGAUAAGUAAGCUUUGUAUUAAUGAAUCAAGAGAAAUGAGUUCUAUCAAAAUAAACUUAACGAGUUUAAUAAUGUACAAAAACUUCAAAGGUGGUAAUAAAUCAGUAAUAAAUAACAUUAUAACAUCCCUUAAAAAAAAACAACAACAUUAUAACACGUCCUUUAUGCUAAAGCACGAGUGGCUGGUACUGGACCAUAUACAUGUUGCAUCAGUACAUAACAAUAUUAAUCAUUCCUUUUAAAAAAAGAUUACUAUUAAUUAUUAAUUUGGAUCACGUGCUCUUUCUUAAGUGACGAUAAGAAAUGUCUUUAAUAAAGCUUACUCGUUUCAAAUCUUGAAUUGAUUUUUUUGCAUUCUUUGUGUAUACUGAUGGUACAUAAUAGACAAUAGAGAAGGGUACAAAAGCAUGCAUGAUUGAGCCAUUGAAGCAGCAAAAAAACAGACGUUGUUUUUUAAUUUUGGGUCCACAACUAUUCAUAAUAGAUUGGAAGGAUUAAAUAAAUUUUUUAUCAGUAUAAAUGUCUCAAAUUUCAUUUUUAUUUCCUCUAAAAUAUUUCAGGGAGUUUUGUUUCAUAAUUUUGAACUCGUGUACCAUUUAUAUUUUGAACAUUUUUUUAUAAAGAUGUUUAGAAUAUAAAUGAACUCAUGGUAAAUGUCAAUUUAAAUCCAAGCAACUCUUUUGUUAAAGCUCAAUUGUGAUUAGUUAGUUCACAUAAACUAUAAAUGAACGAUAUUUCCAAUACCUUUAAGUUUUGAUUGAAGAUGUAAUGUUCAAAUCAAUUAUGUUAUUGUUUUUAGCUUAUUUUGAUGAUCCUCUAGAGAUUUGGGCGCUCUUCACGAGAGUUGUGGGUUAGCUUGGUGAAAGAGUGUGAGUGAAUCCAAGAAUAAUUGCCGACGAGGAAAACUUUCACAUACAAGACCAUAUGAAUGAAAAAGUUUGAAUUCUGCUCCUCCCCCUGUACUUUUCGUUCGCGCCCUGCAACCAUAACGAAAAUACUCAUGCGUUAGUUAACUAACGCAAGUGUAAAAAACAUGACUUAGUUUUUUACACAUACGUGACUUAAGUCACGCCGCAUGAGUUAACUCACGCAAGUGUUACACCCUACGUGUUACACCCUGCGUGAGUUAACUCACGCCAGUUGCAAUUUUCAUGAAUGCUAUUAAUGGUGUCCUCUCUCUUCCAGCUUUGAAUGCUAUGCCGUUUGUUGUGGUGUUAGACUAUAGGCUGCUUACAUGCAUGUAGUUAUUUGAAGAUACAUCCUCCUUCAAAAAACAACAAAUGUUAAUAAUCCCGAAGAAAAAUAUUAAGAAAUCAGUAUAAUGCUAUGCCGUUUGUUGUGUUGCAAGCAUAUUAAGGAUGUGAAAGAAACAACGGUGCAGCCAAAUUAAGCCACGUGGCAGGUCAUGUAUCGGUUACGUAAGUGAGUACAUACAUGCAUUCACUUGAAUUUGAAAUAUAAGUACGUGAGUUAACUCACGCUGAGUGUAACACCUGCGUUUAGAGCUGUAAAAAAUGGGCCGGACUCAUGGGUCGGCCCAUUGGCCUAUAUUUUUGGGCCGGACGGACCUAAAAAACUAACCAAAAAAUGCACUCGGGCUUUUUUCGGUCUAAGCCCAUUUGGGCCAUACAAAAGUUGGGCCAGCCUGGCCCACCGGGCUUUGGGCCGGCCCAUUAGCCCAUAUUUCAUUUUAUUUUUGUUAAAAAACAACAUAUUUUUUAAUAAAAUUAUCAACUAAUUUAAAAUUUAUUAACAAAAAAAUAUUUAAAUAUAUAAACUUAAUAAAUAUGGAUGAAUUUAGCUUACAAUUUUAAAACUUUAAAGUUUAUAAAUUUAUUAAUUUGAUUUAUUGAAAGAAUAAUGUAGAGUUUAAUUAUUAUUCAAUGUUAAUGUAAAAAUUAUAUAUAUUUUUAUGUCCAUCCAAUCAUAUUUUAGCAAAAAAAUAAUGGUGAGUAACUAAUACAUAAGAAAAUACAUAAAAAUAAAUAAAUUUUAAAAAUGAAACAUAAACGGGUCAGGCCGGGCUGGACCAUGGCCCACCCGGGUCGGGCCGGGCUCUAGAAUUCACGGCCCAAUCAUAAAUAGGCCGGGCCGGGCUGGCCCAUUUCUAUAUUCGGGCCUCUCGGGCCCGGGCCGGCCCAUUUGACACCUCUACCUGCGUCAGUUAACUAAUGCUGCGUGACUUAAGUCACGCAUGUGUAAGAAACUAAGUCACAUUUUUUUACACUUGCGUUAGUUAACUAACGCAGGAGUAUUUUCAUCAUGGCUGCAGGGUGCGAGCGAAAGGUGCAGGAGGAGAGCAUAAUUUAAAAAGUUUUGGGUUCAGUGUAGUCUCGUAAUCUCUUGGUGGUCAUGAUAUGAUCAUUAUCUUGUUGUUGCUUAGGCCCCAUGAACUCUCCAACAAGCAUAUUAUACACACAAAUAUGUUAGAAAUUUGUUGUUCACACUUACCACAAAGUUAAAACACACCAGAAAAACUUUAUUCUAGUGUUUGAUUUUUCAUAAAUUUUUGUGAAGUUAAACAUGUUUGAUGUUGCACAAAUUGAAGGUCGUGUUCGAUACUCUGCUUUCAAAAAGACAAUUAAGGUUAUGCUAACUCCGACAGACACUAUUGAUGAUUUCAAGGCACAACUUAAUAAAUAUUUUGAGUAUUUCAGUGAAAAUCAAUAUACACAUCACAUAUUUGUUUAGAUGACUUGUGCAGACCUGAUAGCAGAUAAAGAUGAAGACAUGUGGAAAACGAUCUAUUUUCCUCGAGUUGUUCGUGAUGAUUGCGACGUAGGAUUUAUGUUUAGGCUCAUGGUUGAAGACAAUAUAUUAUAUCUUUGUGUUUGUUCCAUCUGCAUGUGUGUAGAAUGUCAAUAGAGAUUUUAUGUAAUGUUAUGUAUUGUGUUGUUUAAUUUCAAACACUCUUUUAUGUUUUGUUGAAUUUCAAACAUUCGUGUAAUUUUACGAAAUGUGAGAUUGAUUUAAUUUUAGUCAAUUGUGAAAGAUUAUGUAUUGUUCUCGUUUAUGAUUGAUUAUAACUGGUGUAUGAGUUGCACUAUCUCUGGAAUUGAUGUUGUUGAAUUAUUGGUAUAAAUGCGCCAGAAAUUGACCUGUGAAUACAUAGCAGGUUUUGCUUUAUGCAUAAUUCAUUGCAUCGGCAGUUAACUACCGAUAGAACCAACUUCAAUUAACUACCGAGGGGUUAAACCGAUCAUUUCCAUGUGUUUCUUAGCUUUGCUUCAAGUGGGAACAACAAUUUUCAAUAUGUCAGGAUAAAUGGGUUAUGUAUAUUUUUAACCCUUAUAAAUAUAUGAAAUUUUGUUAUAGUCCUUCCAAAAAAAUUCUUCAAACAAUGGUUCUAGCAAAAAAAAAUUAUCCUUGUUUUUAAGGCAACCGUAUGUUUAUAUAACAUAUAGAAAUUAUUUGAAGGACCAUUGUUUGAAGUAUUUUUGUAGAAGAAUUUAAAAUGAAAUUUGAAUUAUUUAUAAAUACCAAAAUCUUAUUAUUAUUAUUUUUAUCAAGUAGCCUAAUAACUACAAAUUUACCUCAUAUGAUAAGAUGUGGGGUGUUCAAGUUCAAACAUUGACCCUACAUAUAUUGUACAAUAUCCUUAUAACUCACGAGGAUGAACCACAAUCUUAUUUAACAUAUAUAGCAAAUCAUUAUUACUUAAACAAAUGCACUCAUAAUUAUGGUGAGUACCUUUAAAAAAAAAGGAGAAUACCAAGGAGAUAACCUUUAAAAAGCACUGAAUUUUUUGCCCAUCACUCCAUCAGAGUCAAAAUUUAAUACCAAAAAAGCGGUAGAUAUCUAAUAACUUCGCAUAUCAAUACCAAGGAGAAACUUAUUUGUUAAUAUCAAGAAGAAGUCUUAACUCAGCUUCUGUAACUGAAUUCUUAACCAAGCCUGCAUGCACAAGUUCAGUCAAGCUUUCAUAGGUCACACAAAAGCUAUAACUAAAGCCCUCAGGAAAUAUGUAACUUACCACAUUGAGCAUCUACCUUUUACUUAUAUUGGAAGUAACAAAAGAGCACCCAUAUCUUCAGAAAAUGAGUAAUAUAGUCUCAUCUUAAGCUCAUACUUCUUACUCAAAAUUUAAACAUGGUUCAAACGUAAUGUCAAGAUUAAUCCAAAGCUAUGUCUGUGGGGAUUACAGGAUAAAGAACAACAAAAAAACAACUAUUAUGUAUAUUUAAAAGUAAAACACACAAUAUAAAUUAAUGUAGCGCAAUAGUUUGCUAUUUCAUUCCUCACAUAAAUUUUUUAUCUACACUAAAAGUUAGCCACUUUCUCAUAAAUGGCACCGCUGUAUUGAUUGAGUGAAAGCGUAGAAUUUGUGACUACAUCAAAACCAAAUCAGUUCAUUUCACUGUGUCAAGAUGACAAUGGACAACAAGCUGUUGAACUCAAUGAAAGUAGACAGCAUCAUGCUGCAACUGUUAGAGUAAUUCUCUAUCUCCUGCCAUAUCGUUUUUGAUAAUAACUUGCCCUUAGAGGUGUUGCACAAUGAUCCUUCCAUAAAUUAACUGAAGGUUCAGAACCAGAACUAUUUAUACUAUUAUCUCCAUUCAGAAAAGUUGUACUUGUGUUAUGAGACAUACAAUCAUCCAUUACGAGUCUCUUCGAACUCUGCGAAGAAGACCUGUAAGUUUUGAGCUUAGCCUUAGUUGAUUCUGUCAAAUUCAUGUAGCUAGGCAGGUGAGCAUCUUUUUCCUCUGUUGCUUCUGGCAUAGAUGGAGAUCCAGAUGUACAUGAAGUUGAUAAAAUGCUAUCAUCAUUCAUGUAUUCGGAGCUUAAAGUCGAAGAUGAUGGAGUUUGCUGACAGAUUUUAAGAGCUGAAAUCCUAGUUGUCACACCAUUCCUUCUUGAUUGAAAAGUAGGAACAAGUUCUUCACUCUUCCUGCUUGAGAUUGGACUCUCCCAUGGACAUGGUUUGUUUGCCAUCCAGCGCUCUAACAAAUUAUUUCCUAAGCUCUUGUUGUCAAGGUUGUGAUGAUGCUUGAAAAGAGACACUGAUUUUGUGGAUUUUGAGUUUGGACUAGCACUUAUUCUUGACUGUUAAAAAGCAAGCAAAGAUAUAUUGGAAUUGGAACUAAACUAAAUGAAUAGAUAUUGUCAACACUUAAUUACCUGUGUGGAUAGAGAGUAUGCCAUUGCUCUAUCCCUCUUGAUGGCACCUUCUUGCCUCAUUCUUAGCUUUGCUUUAACUUCAUCUGCAGUUCCAGGAAUUUCACACCAUCCUUGCUGAUAAUAAUAAUAACAUGGCAAAUUAUCCCUUAUGUUAGCAUCUACUAUAACCUUGUAACUCAAAAUAACCAUUUAGAGAAUGUUAUGCAAUUAUUAUCUUGAAACAAAUUAAUUUGAUACCUCUACAAGCUUAGCAGAAUCAGCAUGGUUGCGAUGGUCAUCUAAUAGCUGCUGCACUGCUUUGCCUUCUGGAGAUUUCCUCACAUUCCUAGCUCUUACACGUGCCUGAACCCUAACCAGAGCUUGCAUGCACCUUAGAGUAACAGCUGCUUGUUUUCUGACUUGCCUGCCUCUAAAUAUUGCUUGCAGCCUCACCACUGCUCGCAAUGCUCUCAAAGCUCGUCUAGCCUUCAAGGUAUUUUAAAUAGAAAUAGAGGUAUGAUAUGAAAUAACUAAAUCAAUAAAAUGAAGAGUAUCAACAUAGAAAGAAAAUAAAAAAAGAGUGGCUGAUAUUUCUGCAAUAAAUCAUCAAAAUAUGGGCAGUGUUUAUGCUGAAUGAUAAACUCAGUUAUGCAUCAUAUUCCUCUGACAGAUUAUUAGCACCACAAGCAUACAAAAGAACCUAACUACUUAUGUUUCCCCAAUCCAAAAAGAGUAAAGGGAGGGAUUUUACAGUCAUAUUAAGGAGGACUAAAGGGUUGAAUUUCAAUUUGGUAAAGACGAGCUGUGAGCUGAUUUCAAAAUUUAAAAGAUGAUAAUACAAGGCCAUUAUAAGGUAAACUAAUUAACAUGAAGAUCAUUAGCAUAGGAAAAAACUAAGCACAAGAGACAUAUGCAAAAUAUACUGAUCAAAUCCUCUUAAAACAAUGUGAAAAAGAGUGGCUAAUAUUUCUGCAAUUUAUCCUAACAUUUGCUAGUGUUUAUAACUCAGUUAUGCAUUAUAUUCCCCUGGCAUAUUAGUAGUAAGAACCUAACUACCUAAAUCAUUCAACCCCAAUAAAGGAAAAAAGGGGGAAAAGUUUAGAUGACUUAAAAAGGACAAAAAAAGUUGACAAUUCAAAUUCAAAUUCAAAUUUUGACGCAGGUUGAUCUCAAAAUUCAAAUCAUGAAAACACAAAGGUCCAAUUUUUAAACUCACAAAUCCCAACUAUUGGUAGAUCUUGUAAAAAGUUAAUAGAACCUAAUCCCUGAAUCCUGAUCCUAAAUCGGACUUUGAAUUUCAAACUAGCACACUAUGAUAUGAACAAUAUUCACAGCAAGAAAAGAAAUAGUUACCAAGAAGGCUCGAAAAAGAGCCUGAAUGCGGAUAGCAGCCCAUUCCUGCCUGAUAAGGAUGAAAUCUUUAGGUGCAGCUCGAACAACGACAGCAACUGCAGCAGCAGUAUCUGUAAUGGAAGAAUCAGACACAGUCUUGUUGAUGGUUGAAGAAGAAGAAGAAGAAGAAGAAGUUUUCCAUAUCUUCCAUUUCUUCUUAGUACUACUACACUUUUUCUCCUGAAUAAACAACAUUAACACUAAAUUAACAACAACAAAAUAAAAAAGGAAAAAUAAAAAUAAAAAAGGGAUUGUUGUAAAUUUACUUGAUCGGAUUUCUUAUUGGAAAGAAGUGAUUUAAACCAUUUUCCAGAAGCACCCAUUGGAGAAAAGAAUCGAUUUUUGCAGAGUGGAUGAUGAAAUAGAUAGAAAGAUUUUUAGGGUUGUGUUGUGAAAUUGGGGGGUAUGUAAAAAGAAACACAGAGAGAGAGAGAGAAACAGAGAGAAAUUUGAAAUUUGAAAGUGUAGGUAGGUGGUGGUGUCGUCGUCUUACGUUUGAUUUGUUUGUGUAAGAAAAAGACCGUAACGUGUAACGGUACCCAAAUAAGUCAACAUCAAAACUCAGCUUUCUCGCCCAACGCGCUCCGAGUUAACUCACCAUUUUACAUCAACAUUUUGAAUCUAGCUUUUGUCUUUAGAAAUGCUGCUAAAGAAAACAAAGAUUUUAUAGGGAGCAUUUCCUUGAUUAACUCUUACGCUCUAUUUGGAUUCAGGGUUUAGGAGGAAAUGGAGGGAAAGGUUCAAUUUUUUUUUUUUAAUAUUUAGAACAAUGUAAAAUGUUUUUUUUUUUUUAAAUAAAUCAAAUAUUUUUAAAGUAUUAUAUGAUUAUUUAUCAGGUUGUUAAUUCAAUUUUCUAAAAAUCAUUUUAUAAUGUUCGUAAUUUAAAAAAGAAAAAUAAGCCAUCCCCUCUCUUCCCCUCCUAAACCCUUCAUCCAAACACACCCUUAUUAUUUUAGGUUUAAAUAUGUUUUUAGUCCUUGCACUUUCAUCAGAUUUUGACAUUGGUCCCUACACUUUUUUUUUGUUUGGAAUUGGUCCCAGCACUUUGUAAAAAUAUUGGUAUUGGUCCCUCUAUUAACUUUCUGUUAAAAAAAAAAAAAAAAACUAUUGGUAUUGGUCCCUGCACUUUGUAAAAAUAUAGGUAUUGGUCCCUGCACUUUGUAAAAAAUAUUGAUAUUGGUGCCACGUGGCGUGAAAUGAUUGGGCCACGUGGCACUCCGUUGGUUUCCCUGCACUUUGUAAAAAAUAUUGAUAUUGGUGCCACGUGGCGUGAAAUGAUUGGGCCACGUGGCACUCCGUUGGUUUUGUGUUUUUUUUUUAACAGAAAGUUAACAGAGGGACCAAUACCAAUAUUUUUACAAAGUGCAGGGACCAAUGCCAAACAAAAAAAAGUGCAGGGACUAAUGCCAAAAUCUGAUGAAAGUGCAGGGACCAAUGACACAUUUAAACCAUUAUUUUAUGUGAAUUAAUUAUCUAUACGUCACGUAACUUCAAAGAUUAAUCAUUUAAGUCGAGUAAAAUUAUAAUGUAUAACAAAGUUUUCUUUCGAUAGAUCUAACACUGUUCAUCUGUUUUCUAAACUGAAUAAUAGGAAUUCAGACCUCUUGUUAAAUUGAAAAUAAUCUCUUUACACUCUCAUGCAAUGCUCUUUGGUGUAUUUUCUUUUGCGUCAUAAGAGCAGAAAAUAAAUUGCUAAAAAAUAAAAUUGAACAAAGAAAUUUUGUAUUUAAAAAAAUAAAAUUAUAGCCUAUGAGAUUCUAAAUGCAUAAUUCUGAAUAUUUUAUUUCUAUAUUUGAUUUCUUAACAUGUGUCUUAUGCCAUAAAUCAACAUUUUUAACUUGUGCCCUUAAUUAUGCUACAAAUUAACAUCUCUUUUAUUAUUAUUUAUUACGUGUUAAUUUGUCAUUUAAUGAUAAGAAAUGACACCGUUCUAAGAGCCACGCAUUUAUUAAUGAUGUGAUUAUUGGAUCCUCUACACGGUCCAAGUCCUACAAAACUCACUAGAAGACCCAAUUUUCUUAGAUUGUGGCCCCAUAAAAUUGAUAGAAGAAAAUUUAGAGUAUUUCUUUUUCCUUCCUAAUGGUUUUUUGCACGGCCUACUUAUUGACGCAUAAUUUUUUAUGCGAACAACUAAGUUUAGAGUUGUAGAUCAAGAGCAUACUACUCUCAUUUUAAAUUUGCUUUCAAAAUUAAUGCACCUAGGUUAAGAUUAGAGCUAUCUGAUCUUGACUUAAUGACUUUAAGAUAAUGUUUAUAUGAAUGAGAAUUUUUUUGACUACACGCAAUACAAAGAUUAUGAAAAACAAAUAGGAGAGUAAGAAAGAGAGGUGAAUAAUUUUUUUUUCUAUCAUAUGUGACUUUGACUUGCAACAAUGUAUGAUUAACCAUCCCCUCAAAACUAUUGGACAAGCAACUAUGAAGUUGAAGACAAUACAACACAAAGAAUGGCCAUGAAAAACCCAAAUAAAAAAUAAUAAUAUUGGGUUUUCUCCUUUAUGACCUUUAUCUUCCUAUAUUAUGUACUAAUAUAAUAUGUAAUAUAUACUACAUUCCAAAUAUUUAUGCUAAAGUUAAAGUAGUGUCUAUGCACAUGAAUGCCUCAUAUGUAGCUGGAACAUUGAACUAGAUAAGUUCCAUAUUUUCAAGUCUAUGUGACAGAUGAACUUCUGGACUGGCUCUUAAAGAUGGAAUGGUUGUUUUGUCUUCAAAUGUUCCAUUGUUGACUCUUGGUGAUGGAUUAAGAUGUUCAAGUGCCUGAAGUUGAAGUUUUGGUGGGUACUCUCUUACAUAACCAAUCCUAGGACCAACACCAGUAGUCCAUUUGCUUGACAAUGCCUUGUUAUUUUCCACAUUGGUAUCAAAGUUCCCCACAUUUUCUAUGUACUCAAAGUGAAGCUCCUCAACCACAGGUUUAUUGGGAGGUAUAAUAUCAUCAUCAACUGGAUGUUUCUGCAUGAGACAACAACAUAAAAAGGUUCAAGAUUCGACAAGUUGAUGAUGCUUGUUGAGAUAAGGCUUAAUUUUUUUAUGAAGAAUCGUGUCACAAGUUGAAUUUGUAAGGUUGAGUUAAACUCAAAGUACGAAACUAAUAAAGCUAGAGUGAAAGUUGAUGCUUCGACAUGAUUAUUCACCUUUACAUUUGUCAUAUUAUCCACAUGAUGUUCCUCCAAGAAGCGAAUGAAUUCCUUAAGAUUCUUCUCUGUUGGACGAUAGUGGCCACUAUAGGGCCAAAUAACCUGAAUAAAAUGUAAAUGAAGAUCAAUUCACAUGUAAAUGAAAUGAAAUGUGUAUCUCAAUUCCAUACAUGAAGAUCAAUUCCAUAACAUUCUGUCAUGUUGCUAAGAGAUUUCCUCUUUGUGUCUUUAAAUUUAAAAAAAAAAAAAAAAUUAUAAAAUUCUAUUUUAAGGAGGGGCAUGUCACAUGUGUGAGAAAAAGAAUGUAGCAUACAUGAAGUACUCCAUUGUGUGCAACAAUUCUUCCAGAUGCAAUGGUAGGAGCACCAGCUACAAAACUUGAGUGUUGAAAUUUGCCUUUUUCCUUCUGUCCAACAUACAAAACUCUAGACGAGCUAAGAACAAAAAUCCACUUAGAUCCGUCGGUUGUGUGUACAAGGUUAUUGCUUUGUUUGUAAACAAGCUUGCCUCCUUCCACAAUCACUUCAUAUGCUUCCCUCUCUAUCUGCAAAUUGCAAGCAUCAAUGUUGAAGUUGUUAAUACAACAUAAAAAUUUAGUGGCAAACUUUGAAAAUUAUAAAAUAGUUUGAUAGUCUGAAAUGCUCAUAUUAACUAGAGUUAUUGAAUGCAAUGUGGGUGAAUGAAAAAAUUUACAGGUCCAAGAUAGUUUAUUCGUUGCAUUUGCAAUUUCUUUCUUGAACAUAUGUCAAGAUUGACUUUUUUUCCAUCACCAAUAUCCAACCUUCAUGUGAGCAAAACAUGUAUUAAGACAUUACAAAAUAUGGAUCAAAAUUCAAAAGUUAUAUUCAAAUCCGUAUAUACUAGUGCUUGCUCAGUUAAUAUUUACCAGUAGAAAAAGGGUUGAGAACUCUGACACUUAAACCAUACAUCAUAAUAGAAAUGCAGAUUGUGUCCAUAGCGAUGACGAGGAUCAAUCUGCAAAAUAUAAGAAAGCAUUAGCCUCGGUAAGUUUAUUUUCUUGGAGUCCAAGAAACCAUAUGAUAAAGCAAUUACAAUGUAGAAGUAUGAGCUUACAGCUUCAAGCCAAUGUUUUCGAGCUAAUCUUUGCGCAUUAUCAUCUUUGGAUAAUCCUCUUCCCAUCUACCAACCAAAGAAAAAAGAACUUUAAUUUUCCAAAGAAGACUAAUAUGAACCUAAACAUUGAAGGAAGCAUAUAAAAUGUAACCCCUUAAGAGUGAGCAUGUUUGGAUUGACUUAUUUAAUCUUAUUUAUUGGUAUUAAUACUUGUGAGACUAUUUAGUAGAGUUUAUGAAAACAACUUACGGCAUGUUCUUAAGUUGUUUUUAGCUUACUUCCAUAAGCUCUUCAGAAUAGCUUAUGAAAACAGUUUAUUACUUAUAUGAAAACAGCUUGACUUCAUUUUAUCUUUUGGUAUAGAAAUAACAUAUAAAUCAACACUUAUAUGAUAAACGCUUAUGCUAUAAGCACUUAAUUAAACUAUGAUAUACCUUAGCAGCCAUUGUCCUUGCAGUUGCCCAUUUUGAAAUAGCUGAUUCAGAUUUAUCAGAGUCAAAAUGUGAUAUCAAGCACUUUUGAAAAGCAGAAGUUUCUGAACCCGUCCACCUGAAGCAGUGAACAAACUUAAGAAUCCAUUUUGGAAAGUACAAUAAGCAGCACUAAUCACUCACUCAUAACUUAAAUAUUGGAUUGCACUAACCAUAGCUCCUCGCAAACAACGGCCAAAUCUGCUAAAUAUCUUCGAAUCCUAUAACUCUUGUAAACUUUCUGCAGCUUUGUCGCAGCUAAAUCACGGUCAGAAUCAGUAAAUGGAGAAGAAAAUAACAUCACUACUUCUGGUUUUUUCGGUAACAAAGAGUCCUCAACUUCAUCUUCUGUAUCAGAAUUAUUCUGUACUAGAUAUUUGCAUGACAAUGCUACCUUCAAGCCUAUACACUCUUCUUCAAUAGUAGGCUUAUAGAAAGUAUUGAAAUUAAUGUCAUUGCUGAAUUUCACUUUGUUAUCUUGUUCCUUGCUUAUAGCUAACAUCACCAUUAAUUUCUACACAAGAAACAUAUCCAUAAGCUAAGUAAUUAACUAAUAUUGGAAACUUGCAAAGUAAAUAUAGAAAGUUGAGAGACAGGCUCACGUGGAAGUAAAAUUUCAGCUUCUUUAUAAUUUUCAUCUAUACACAUAAGUUUACUCUUUGAAAUAUAUAUACUGCAUAAGUUUGAAAGAGAUAUUAGCUUCAAAUAUGCAAAGAGAGACAUGUAUAUUGCAGAAAAUUGAGACCUUUUGGUAUUUGGCCUAUGUGAAUAUAAAACUAUAUAAGGAGAAUUAGUUGUGUUACUUGCAAAGAAAGUCCUAUAAAUUGAGUUAUUUGGAAUAGAAAACUAUAUAUUGAUUAUUAGAUUAAUUCAACAACCAAAGUUUUGCUAGAAAGGGCAUAUAGAAUCUUUCUUGACAUAAUCAUAAAAAUAAUAACUACCAAUCAAAAGACCACUUUUGUCAAAAUAUGAAAGGACCAUAGUAGUAUAGUACAUACAAUUAGAAUAUGGGUUUUUGGUACAAUUUUUUUUUUUUUUUAAUAUUUACAAUUUUUUUUUUGAAGGAAUAUUUACAAUUUUAUUGUUUUCAUUUUAUUUCCUUUCUCUUAUACAGUUUUUAAAAGAUGUGCCAUAAAAUACAAAUAAAGUCACACUUUUUUUUAUAUAACUACUAGCAAAAAUAAAUAAACAAGCUUGAACCAGUGAGAAUCUAAAUUUCAUCACUACUACAAAAAUACACCCCGGUCAUUAUUUAUUAUAAACAAAAAAUCACUUUUUAAGUUCAUUGAAUAAUUGAUGCAUAUGAUCUGAAUUAUUGAUCAGAUACAUCAGUUAUUCAAUGAACCUAAAACAUUAUUUUUCUCUUAUAAUAAUAAUUAGAUGGUGUAUAUUUUUAUAAAACGUACGUAACCCUAAUAAAAAUAUUACAAAUAAUUAUGUUUAUCCAUAUUUUUCUAUUGUAUUUUGAUGUAUGUAUAUUAUUUUAAAAUAUUUACUUUAAUAUCAUUAAUGAGUUUCUGUUUUAUGAUAUAUAUCAUAAAACAAAAACAAGUUAUAUCUAUGCACUACCUAUGUGUGUAUACACACGUAGUGCAUAUAUUUUUUUUUUUUGAGGGAACGUAGUGCAUAGAUAUAACUGGAGUACUUAAUUUUAAUGUGGUAUUUUUUCUCUCAAUUAAACCUUUUUUAGCUAUUGCAUUUUCGAUUUUAUCCUUUUUACAAUAUUAUUUAAAUAUUAGUUAAACUUCAUUGCAAUAAGAACGAUCUCACUGCUGCCCAAAAAUUUAACGUAAAGACAAUCUCACUGCAAUAUCACCAAUAUCAUUUAUAUCUUUAUUUUGGUCUUAUUUCCCUUUUUUUUAAUGGAAAUUUCUCAUUUUUUUAAGCAAAAUAGAGUACAAUAGUAUCUUGUGAAAGAUAUGACAUCCUAACUAUAUUGAUUAUUGACACCUAUCUCAUCCACCUAUUAUUUGCAACACUCUAGAAAUAUAAUUUAAUUUAUCAAAAAUACUUGAUUGUGGUAUAUGUAAUUUUUUUUUUAAUAUUAUUAGCAUAAAAAUAAAUAAAUUUAGUAUUAGAUGGAUAAAAUAAAUUUACAAUAAAACACAACAGAAAAUCAAACAACCAACAAUGUUAAUGUUUGUUUUUUCGACGGUAAUGAUGUGCGCGCAUGCACACACACAUAAAGUGCAUCUUACCUAGCUGCAUGUAUUUAUAUAAAAUGAAAAUUGCUUGUAUAAAUAAUCUCUUAUUAGAAAGUAGGUUGAUGAACUUACUCUUAUAUAGUCCCCAAGCUUAAUAUAUAAAGCAUUUUAAUAAGAGAUUAUAAACACAUGUAAUUAUGUAAGAUGCACUUACUCUUACUAUAAUCCCUUAUUAAUAAAAAUAACUUUAAUUUUAUUGAAAGUGCAUCUUCCUCUUGAUAAUGAUGUAGAAUAAAUAAUAUCACUUGAAAAAUGGGUUGAUGAACUUACCUUUAUAUUUCCUAAGCUUGAUAACGUGAGAAGGAGUAAAUUUGAGAGUUCACUAGACUUUGAAGUUAGAGCAGUGGCAGUGGCAGUGGCAGUUAUGAGUGAUACAUACGAAAUCUAACUAUAGUUUCAAUAAACAUCAAAACUGUUUCAUCCAAUUUUUGUUCCUUCAAUUGUUUAUGGUUUAUAUUUUCUUCUCUUAGUUAACACAAUUUCCUAAUAUUAAUGCUUCUUCACUAAGACUACUAUAUAUAUAAUUGUGUUUAUAGUGAAUAUUUAGUAUUAAUAACUAGUACUAAGGUAUGACAACCGAGGACACUCACUGGUAACUGCUUCUAUAAAAUAAACAAAUGUCACAAAAUGAAUAACUCUCUACCGAAUCACUUCUCAGGUGUUAUAUAUUUAUAAUACUAUAAAGUUUGUGUUUGGCAAAUGGCAUUAUCAAAGCUGUUUUUUUUUAAUUGAUUGGUUCCAAAUUUUUGUUAACUAAUUAAGCUCACAUUCACUAGGAAUUUGUACAAAUAAAAAUGUAAGUAAUAGAAUGAUAAGUUGACCUGAAUUGGCUCUUGCUAUUUAGAACUGGCCACAAGUAACAUCAAAUAUUGGUGACCCCCUGCUUGCUGGAAUAUUUGUGAUUGUGAUCAAUGGCUUUUGCUUCUCAGAAAUAGCCACAGAUGACAUCAACAGGUCACACCCCCUGCAUGCUGUAAUAUUAGUACAGUAAUAUUUUGUGUGAUAAACUUUCUAUGCACGCAUUCACUAAUCAUUGGUAAUUAAUUGAUGUCACCGAUUAAUUAGGAGGAAUAAAGGAUUAGCAUCUCAAGUUAUUUGUCAUUGGCUUUUUAUUUUGUUUUUAACCCAUCUCUUUCUAGGAGAUGGAACUAUGAUAGUAAUAUAUAAUUCGGAUGGGAGGUAAGUAAAAUCUAAUAGAAAUUUUUGUUAAAAAAAAUCUAAUAAAAAUUAUUUUUGUAAGAAUUUGAACUCAAGUUAUCCUAAACGAUUUGUCUUGAUUAAAGUUUAUUAACAUUUGGGUUCAAUUGUUUGAUUUGAUGUAAAGUAAUGAUCGAGAAAUAUGGCUGAAAAUAAUAAAUUAAUAGAGGUGGCCUAAUUAAUUUAGUUAAUUUUAAUAAAAAUUAAUAUAACUGCUCCAAUUAUUUUCAUAAUUUUUGUAAACAUUAUUAUUAGUGUUAGAUGUUUGAAUGUGAGGUUGGUUUAGGAAAUACUUAUAUAUUUUUUAUAGUUUAUGAAUAAAAUUAUAGAGUGUGAUAGUUUAAUGACUAAAUUGUUGUAUACAUUUUUUUUAAGAGAAAUUAUAUUUGUACAAUCAUUUUUCGACAAUUUUUGUGACAACUUUCUUUCACAUAUUCAUAUUAUGUUUACUUUCUCUCUUUAUUGCUUGAUUUUUGUGUCAAUACAUCAUUUUCUUUGUAAAUUAUGGUUGUCAAUAAAAUGGUUGUUCAAAUAACACAACUCUUUUUGUAAUAGUUUAUCUCUCUUCCGUAACAAACAAUUGUCGAUCAUCAAAAUGACUUGUACACUUCUUUUAACAAUUGUAAAGCAAAAUAAAAUUUAUUCCAACUUCACGAUAAUCAAAAUUUAACUUUAUUAAGAUUUAACUUCCCUCCAACUCCUCUAAUCAAAAUUUAAGUUUCAACUAUGACUUCAACCUAUACUAAAUUUACAAUGUAUUUGAAUGUUGAGAUUGCACUUUUGUAAGAUUUAAGUAAGAAUUAUCAUUAACAACCCGGAAAAUAUUUGAUUUGAUUUCAACUAUUCAUGGAACUAAUUAAUACUUUUAACAAGUUUUAUUAACAUCUGUAUCCAUGAAAAAUAACUGUCCUAAAAAUAAGGCCAUUUGCAAACUAGAACAAGAUGUAUUUUUUUUUUUUUGAAGGAAAGAACAAGAUGAAUUUAUUGUUCAUUUUUAAAAUAUAUUCCUUAUAUUAUUAUAUCAUCAUUUGGUCUUGAAUUAUGAAAAAACCAAUAUUACACCCACAAAAAUGUAAUUUCAUAAUAGUUAAAAUUCUUCUGUUUAGAACGAUGUCAACAUGAAUCAUUGCACCAUCUUUAUUUUUAGCUUUCUUUUCGUUUUGCUUUUUGUUGGGAAUCAAAUGUAUGUAUAAUUAUAAUGUAAUAUAGGUGCACUUGGUUGAUGGUUGCCUAUAUGCCUAUCCCUGCUUACCCUCUAAUAUGACUGAUGGAUGACAUAUUCAUACCAUUUUGACUAACCUUUCUUUAACAUUUCCUAGGUUGAAUGAAUUGUCAUUACUUUAGUUGUUUGUUCAUACCAUUUUUAUUAAAUUACUAAUGCAUCUGAAUUAGCCUAGGGCUAGAGUUUGUUAUAGUACAAAAACGUCCACUUUCUGUUUCUGAUUCCUCAAUAAAGCUCUGCGCAUUUAAAUGGCAAUUUAACUUAUAGUACCUUUAUUCUAUGUUACUAACUAACCUCAUGCAUGUUCGGACCCACACUAUUAGGCUUACCAAGGAUCUGGAUUCCACUUGAUCUAAAAUGAACGGUCAAAAUCUUAAAUUGUGUGAAAUUUCUAAAAUCCAUGCUUCAUAAUUGUAACCGUUGGAUAAUAGAUCUAAGAUCGAGAUUGAAAACCGCAGGUGGAUAGGAUCCCGGUCCGGCUCACAUGUUCAAAAGAUGUUUUCAAAGUUCAUUAGAGGACCCGGGUGACUUAUCCAAAUAAGUUCUGUAAAAACUGUUUCAGUCCUUGUUAGAUUAAAAUUAAGGUCUUCAAAUUGGCCUCUUCAUAACAAAUUUCUACAAAUUAAAAUUGGAUCUAUUUCUUGUCACUUUCAAAAGAAGCAGUGUAAAACACUCCAAAGAUGUACCAUAAUAAAUACUAACGUAACUAAAAUCUGAUAUUCAUUGAAUAUGAGAAUAUCUUGGACACCCAAAUUAAAUGCAAUACAAAAUGAAUGGCCCAAAUUAGAUAGAUAUUGGUAAAGAGGACUUAUGCCUUAUCUGUGCCCCCAACAACCAACUCAUAGAAAAAUUGACCCUAAUAGUACAACAGCAUUUAAUCCACUAAUAACAAACUCAUUAAAUAACAAUACAAUAUCAUUGAUGAUUUGAUUUCUUUCUUCUGUAUAUGGUAAUAAUGACAGCAUAUAUCAGUAAAGACAGUAACUAAAAGACAAAGACUAUGCAGUCUAGGUGUCAAAAAUAUUAUUAUUAUUAUUUUAACAUAUAGUAUAAGUCGAUAAGAUAAUUAUAGGUGUAUAGACUCAAAAUGGGUGCUGUUAUUCUGAACAAAUAGAGAACCAAAUAUAGCAGCACCCUUUUAGAUUGAUUUGAGAGAGAAAGAGAAAGAGAAAUAGGUUUGGCUUGUAUUGAAAGGUAAGCAAGAAAUCCAUCCAAUGUUAUAGGCAGUGGAGAAAACAGACUAGUCUUAUAGUCUUAGAAGUUGUCAAAUGAAGGUGAAACUUGUUCAAGUUGUUGAUCACUUGUGUGUUUGUAAAGCAAAAUAUUAAACAGUCAUCUUUUUGGGAAUAACAAACAAGCUAGUGUGAUUCACUUGUGUUAUAGCCUUUUCAUUUCACUCCCUUCUUAUAUAUAUAUAUAUAUAUACUCUACAAUUCAGCAAUAAUCAUCACACCUUGUAUCUUGUAAUUGUGAAGGAAAGAUUAUAAACAUCAUCAUCAUUUGAUUCAUCAUUUCAGCUUAAAAUGAAAGGAAGAUUGUUUUGUUUCAUUUUAGCUCUGCAGUUACUAAGUUCUGUCUCUGUGGCUAAAAGGGCUUUUCCUUCAACUGAUGCAAUGUCACAUCCAGGUAAUUAGUUAACCAUAGCACACCAUUUUUAUAGAUAUAUACCUUAAUUUAAUCAUUAGUAUUUUUAAGUACUAACAACUGAUAUAUGCUUCAUUUGUAUUUUGUAUAUAUGAUGAUUAGGCCCAGGAGAGGCACCAGCACCACACCAAACCAUAGAGUCAAAAAAGGUGUGUCUUCUAACAUUAUGUAAAUUUGGAUGCAUUGUAUUGUAUUAUAUAUCUUAAUUAACAUAUAAAUACUUGAAUUUUAAAUGAAGUCGGAGAAAAUGAAAGAAGUGGUAUAUGAUGAUGAUAGAGAUAUUGGGAUAAGCAGCAACAAGAUAGGGUCAAGUCCACCAAGCUGUGAGCACAAGUGUUAUGGAUGCAAUCCAUGUGAAGCCAUUCAAGUUCCAAGUACUGAAAGCAGUAAGAGAAAUCAUUUGGGUCUUCAGUAUGCAAAUUAUGAGCCUGAAAGCUGGAAAUGCAAAUGUGGUCCUUCCUUCUACAGUCCAUGAUCAUUCUAUAUUCUAAUAUUAAUUAUUAAUUAUCCAUUAAUUCAAUGUAGUAUAUAGUUCAUCUGUUAGGUUCAUAUUAUAUAUAUUUUCUUCCCUUUGUACAAAUAUUAAAGUUCAAAGGAUUUCAUUAUUAUUAAUUAAUUUGUGGUUGGAAUUGUUGGAUGACUUAUUAUGCUACAGAGCCUUGUAGAACUUUUUGUUUUUUGUCAAACUAGAAAAGGAAAAAUGGAUAAUUUUUUUUUUUUUUGAAAGAGAAAUUAUGAAGAAAAAAAUAUUGACGAAAAAAGAACAUUCAAUUCUAAUAAUUUUACUAGUGUAGGCCACUACGUCACUUUGACAAAAGAAAAAAAUACAAUACCUACCGUUACUAAUAUAUGUAAAACUACAAAUAAUGCUUAUAAAAAGUGACAGGGAGUACCAAUUAUCAGUUAUGAGAUCAUUCUCUAUUUUAUCAUUAAACUAAAACAUAACAAAUUUCAUACAUUGAACAUAGUCCUAGACAUACAACACUUCAUUCAAAUAUCAAUAAAAAAACAAUCAUAUUGAUGUUAUCAUGAUAAAGUGAAAACUACUUGUGUCACCACAUAUUAACAUCGCAAGGCCACAACACUUGGUAUCUAAAAGGAUGUGUAUUUUUCCACUUGAUUUUACCCUGCCACAGCAUCAUCGUCAUCUUCUUCUUCUUCUUCUUCAAACUCCUCCUCCUCCUCCUCCUCCUCCUCCUCAUCGUCAUUGUUUUGUUCCUCAUCCUCAUCUUCUUCAUCAGUAACAAUGAAGCCUCCUAGUGUCUCAUCAUCAACGUCAUCAUCAUCAUCUUCUUCUUCUUCUUCAUUUUCAUCCACACUAGUUGCUUUCUUUCUUUUUGAAUUACUACUAUCUUUGAUAUCUCUGUUAGGUCCUCUAUUGUCUUUAGACCUCGUGGAGUACCUAGGUUUCUUACCUUUCCCAACCUUAGCAACAAGUUCCUUAUCAUCUUCACUAUCACCAUUCCACACGUCAUCCUCGUUGUCUCUAAAUACUUUCCGCUUUCCCUUUAUUUUCCUUUUCUCCUCAAAAUCAUCCUCAUCCUCACUUUCUUUGCUAGGCUCCUCGAGGAACCACUCCCAAUUCUCCACAUUCCGGAUCAUGCCCUUUGGAUACUGGUCAAACUCAUGCCUCAUAACAAGAAAACCAAACUCUGCAUUUUCAAAAUUACUGUUUCAUCAAAAGUAUCCCAAAAGCUAUCACUGUGAAUUCAAAAAACAAAUUCAUGCGUAAAUGGUAAAAAAAAAAAACAUCAAGUGAACAAUGCUAAACAGAAUUGAAUUAUACUACCCUUAGAAGGUUACACAGCCACAGGCACUUACAAGAUAUAAUUGAAUAUCUUUAUCACAAACAACCAAAAAUUAUAUUUUAAAUGAUGUACAUCACCAAAAAUUAUACCAUUGUUGACAUGAAUUCAGCAAACUUGAAGAGUCGUCAACUUGAAAAUCUCUUUCUCAAGGAAAAACUAGCUUUUUUCGUGAGGUACAAAACAAACCAGUAACCAUUUCAUUUCCAUUUCUAACCCCACACUCAAGUUCGAAAGGCAACAAAAAUUCUUACGCAGAAUAAUCCCAAUAUAGGUAGUAUUCGAGUUGAUACUUCUUAACUUUAAGUCCAAGCAACCAAAUUUGCAAAAGGAAUGAAGCACCAAGAAACAAUAAAAUUGAAAGAGCAAAACUUGAUCCCAUACAUAAUAAUAUUGGAAUCUGUAACCAACUAAAAAGGAAGGCAGGAGGCUAAUAGUAUAGAAGAAGGAAACACCAUACCUUAUAUUGAAUAUGAAAUCAAAUUAUACAUGUCCAUAAAAGGCUAUUAAGCUAUCAUAACCAAAUGAACACAAAAAUAAACUUUAAAUCAUAAACUAUAGUACUCAUGGUUAAAUUAGUUUUAGGCCAUGUUUGGAACUUUGGAUAAACAACUUAAUUAAGCGCUUAAAGCAUACAUACUCACCAUAUAAGUGCUUAUAUAUAAGCUAUUUUUUAUAACAAAAGAUAAAAAUCAGUCAAACUAAUUUCAAAUAAACUAUAAGCUAUUUUCACAAGCUAUCCCGGAGAGCUUAUUGAAAUAAGUUAAAAACAAACUCAUGGAAAUGCUUUGAACUGUUCUCAUAACUUCUCCAAAACAAUCUCACAAAUGUUUAUAACGAUGGAUAUUCUUCAACAAAUUAAUCCAAAAAAGACCCUUGGAAUUAUACUAUCCUUAAAAGGCUACACAAAUUUACCUAAAACUUGCAACUCAUGUACAAAACAAACUCUCAAACUCUACAUGUUGAACAAUGUACUACAUCUACAUUGCAAAUCCUGCUAAGGAAAUGUCAUUGACAUGCAUACAAUCAUCAACUAAGACAUUUAAUUUUAUUUUUCAGCUAAAAAAACUUGCUUUUCCAAUUAUUGAUUUUGUUACAACAACAAAAACAUCAUCAUCAUCACUCAGCAAAGCAACAAAAUUGAAACAAAAAUAGUUUCCAUCAAAAAGGGUCAAAGUUAUUACCUUUAAUAGGAUCAAUUUGUGAAAUAUCAAGUUGAUCAAAUUCAAUCUCACUCUCAGAAUCUUCACUCUUGUUCAAAUUGAACCAAAAGGGUGUUUUGGCAGACAAGCAAAAACGGUCACCAAGUUCCAAAUGACCCAUUUCGAAUUUCUUGAAGAUCUUAAGCGUUUUGUCAUUGUUCUUCAAAACCCAGAUGGGGUUUCUUCCAAUGACUUGAAAUGAAACCUUAGGAGGUUCUGAAUCAGACUCGUUGUUGAGUUGGAACGAAACGUGACGGCGAGAAACAGUGUGGUCUUUUGUGUUGAAACCACAACCUCGUCCGAACAGUGCUUUGUCGCUGCUUUGUAAAGAGAAUUUGGAACCAUCUUCGCCUUCGAACUCCAUUCAGAAUUCUUUAGAAAUAUUUGGCGGUGAAAAGUAAUAACCUAGCACCGUUAAUUCUAAAGAAAAUAUAUAUAUAUUAAUGACUUAAAUAUGUAAACGGUUCUUGUAAGUUCGCGCAUUUUUGGUUUGGUCCCUGCAAGUUUUUUUGUUCUAAAACAAACCAUCUAUUUUGAUAACCUUUUGGAAAAGGUACUUGCCCAUCAGCUUCCGUCAACAAAAACGCUAUGGUGGCUAACAGAGCACACGUGGCAGGUCAUGAGUUGGAAAAAUUGAUGAGAUGGUAUGAGAGAUGAUAAGUUGCAAGAGUACAGGGACUAAAAUAAAAAACAUAAAUUGACACAGGGAAGAAAUUAAAAAACGAAAACAUCAAAAUUUGAAUUAAAAACCAAACUUUCAGUCUUCUUCUUCCUCUCAAAUACCAGUCUUCUUCUUCCGCUCAAACUUUUCUCAAUCUUUCCCAUACCUUGCUCCCUUGAACCAAAACUCAUCUCCUUCAACAAUGUCUUCUAAUUCCAUUACUCAAUCAUCAUCCAAUGAGUUACCUAUGUGCGGUUGCAACAAAAUUAUGAGAAUGUUCAUAUCCAAUUCACUUGACAACCCUAAAAGGAGAUAUUGGAAAUACACAACCUAUAUGGUGAGUUUGCUGUUGUAAUACUUUGUUGUUCUCUUAUUUUUUCACAUUUUAAUUAGCUAAAUAUGUUUGUUUUCAUCUCAGGCUGCUAGUAGUUAUAAAUUGGAAUGGUACUCCGGCGAUGAAUAAUUGGAAGAGUAAUAAUUUGAAGGGUACAUAUGGCGAUGUGUAGUGUCGAUGUUGCGGCAAGCUACGAUGGUGCUCAUGCAAGAUGUGUUGGCUUCGAGAAGGAUGAGGACACAUAAGGAGACACACAAAACAAUAAUAUAUAAAUUGAAAUUUGAAUUUGAUAAAUUAGCAUGGAUUGCAAUUAAAUUAAUUGAAAUUCUGGAUUGAAUUGACAUGAAUUGGAACUCCACGGGAAUAAAUUGGCCACAAUUCAUGAGAUAUCUAUCAUGGCUAUUGCAUGUGGAUAAAAGGCUAGAAUUAUGCAGAAGUUGGAACUAAGCAUUGUGUCUAGUAUAGGACUUUUUUAAACAAACAUUUGUAAAUUAUACAGAAGUUGAAGCUAAGAACAGUAUCUAAUAUAGGACUUUUUUAAACAUAAGUAUUUGUAAAUUUGGCUGUUUUAUUAAGAGUUCCUGGCCUUUGUUGCGUACAUGCUUUGUAGCUUUGUAUACUGUAAUAUUUCAGCAGCUUAAGAGAAAUCAAAAGGCUUGUUUGCAAUGUUAUAAUCAAGGUUUUAAUAACAUGACACAGUUUAAAAGUGAUGGUACUUUUUAGGAUGUGUAUAACUAUACUUUGUUGCACUAUGGAGAAGCUUUAUAAAUUUUAAAAUCUGAUCAUAUUUUAAAUUGUUGGAGGAAAUGAGUUUUUCCUUCAAGGACGCAAGGUGAUGGGAGAUUGGGGAAAUAUUCAGAGGAAGAAGGAAGAAGAAACAAAGAAUAGUGAGUGGAAGAAGAUGGAAAAUUUGAUUUUUAAAAUUCAAAAUUUGAUGUUUACAUUUUUUUAAAUUCAUCCCUAUGAAUUUUCGUUUUUGAUUUUAGUCCCUCUCAUACCAUUUCAUCAACGUUUGCCAACUUAAAACCUGCCACGUAGGCCUCCGUUAGCCACCAAAACGUUUUUGUUGACGGCAUAGACCUUUUUCAAAAGGUUAUCAAAAUACAGGUUUAUUUUAGAACAAAAACACUUACAUGGACCUAUAUUAAUUUCACCAAAACAUAUAAACUCCCUGUCUAAUCACUAUUAUAACAGAAAUUCGUUAAAUACAAUUAAUUCUUUAAAUUUAAUGUAAAAAAACAUAAGUCAAAUUUACUAAAUUGUAAUUUUUACUUUUAAAUAAAAACCUGCUUCAACUGCGUUAAAUGUUUUUUAAUUAAAGAAAAGGUAUAUAAAAAAAGUAGUAAAAAUACAGGCAAAAGAGAAAGUAGUAUAUUUUUGUAACAGUGACCAAUUAUUAUUUUUUUUUUUAUAACUGUGACAAAAUGGAGUGAUGUCAAAAAAAUGUCACAUACUAAAUACCAGACUUUGUUAAACAUAAAAAAAUGUCAAAGGUUAACACAUUGAAACUUAAAUGACUAAAUUGAAAAGGAAAAAGAGAAAAAAAGAUGACUAGAUAUUACAAUUCGUAUGAAAUGUACCAAUUAUCAGAUCUCUAUUAUUUUCAUUGAACUGAAACAGAACUCCUUUCAUGUACCCAAAAAAAAAUAUAACUCAUUUCAUACAUUGAACUUAGUCACAAACAUACAACAAUUCAAUCCAAUAUCAACAAAAAUCAAUCAGAUUGAUGUUAUCAUGCUCAAAAAUGAAAACUACUUGUGUCACUAUAUAUUAACAUCACAAGGCCACAACACUUGGUAUCUAGAAUGAUGUCUUCAAACUCCUUAUCCUCUUCAUAGUACCAUUGAGCAAAUAGACAACAACAACAUUAAUCUAAUUGGGGCACAAUACAAUUUAAUGCAGGCAUACCAAUCAAAUUAUUUGAUUCAAUUUCCAAAUGUACAAAAGAAAAAAACCUCAAAAGGGGAAAUUAAACCAAAUAAUUUGACUAGUAUGCCUGCAUUAAAUUAUAUUGCACCCCAAUUAGAUUAAUGUUGUUGUUGUCUACUUGCUUAAUGGUACCGAUGAAAAUGGUAGAUCACAUUUGGAUGCAUCAACUUCUAACAGCUGGACUUCUGCUUCUGAAUAUGAAACAGCGAGACUCAAAGCCAUGCUCAGACCUACAGCAAGAGCUACCAAGGAUAAAUCAACCGCUCUUGGUACAAAUUAUCUUCAGGAAAGAUUAGACCAACCAAAAAAAAUAUCUGGAGUCAGUACCAGAACUCAUGAAUAAUACCUGCACUUCAAUCAGCUCAAGGUAUUCUUGCAUAAAUAAAUGUAAGGCAACAGCAUUUCCUUUGCACAGGUUGCAGAAAGUGAUGGAGAAAGUGCAAAACAUACAUCUUGUGUCACAUUAACACCCCAAUUAAGACACCUAAACAUAUAUAGAGAAGCUAGAAAGCUAGUGUUGAAUGGGCAGAAUGCACUUGUCCCUUACAAUCAGCAAACUGGAUUCAUGAAUAUGGCAUCAUCAUUCCCUUCAAGUAUAAACAGUCAUGGGGUUGAUGGAACAGAUGAAGACAAGGCCAAAUGGUGGGAAAAUGAAUGAAAUGUUUUCCAAAGAAGAGCAGAAUCAUUGAUUACACGGAUGCAUCUUGAUCAAGGAGACAGACGCUUUUCGCGAUGAGAGGAUCAUGGUGGAUUCAGUGGUAGAGUUUUUCUCACUCAAUGUCUCAGACCAUCUUUCCAGUUCUGCAUUCAUGUCCCUUGUUGCUCGAUUUCCCCUAAAGUCAAGCUGCAGGGGACAUGAACGCAGAACUGGAAAGUUGGUGAAUUUGUUGAAAAACCAGAAAAAUAUUGAACCUCCACUUGAACAGUGUGCAAAUCAAUCAGGAAUCUCUAUUCCUGGCAAAUAAAGCAUCUUGUUUCCAGCUUCAAUCAUUUCCUGUCAGUCAUAAAUUUAGAAACUGUUACAAGUUAAUCUAGCAUUUUGAGACAUUGAUAGGAAUUGAUACACAUUUGAUAGGAACCGAUACUAAUGAUAUCAGAGAACGUGAAGACUUCAAUUUCGCAAAAAUUUGAGAAAUGUCAAGAAACUUAUAACGGUUAUUGUGGAAAUGAUAAAAAACCUUUAAAUAGCAUCAAGUCUGAUAAUGACACUCUUCGAUAAUUUUCUGAAAUAAUUUGCAUGUAAUUUCUGAAAAUGACACUCUUUGAUGCACACAUGAAGAAUGGUGAAAUAAUUCCCCAGAAAGUCUGAUAAAACAUUUGAGGAUCAAGAAAGACCACAACCAGCCAUUGAUGUUUUAGUUGCAAAGAUGCGUGCAUCACUUGCAAAAAAGAAACGAGUAAAAAGAGAAGUACUCCAAUCAGUUCAGCGUAUUCUUGCAUAAAUGAAAUGCAAGAACAUAUGCCCUUCACAACUCAUAAGGUGUUGCUUGAGGAGAGUGGUGGAAAAACAUACAUACUAUGGACACAUUAACACAGCAAUUUAGACACCUAAACAUAUAUAGAGAAGCUAGAAAGCUCGUGUUGUAUGAGCAGAAUGCACUUGUCCCUUACAACCGGGAAAAUGAAAAACACAAGUGCAAAGUUCAUGAAUAAAGUUUGGAAGAAACAGACAUGAGCUAAAGUUAAUCUUGAUGAGGAAACUUAUAAAGUUUGGAAGCUUCUGAUGUUGGAUAUAAACAGUGAAGGGGUUGAUGGAACAGAUAAAGACAAUGCCAAAAGGUGGGAAAAUGAACUAUUUCCUAAGGACAAGCAGAAUCAUUUAUUGCACGGAUGCAUCUUGUUCAAGAGACAGACACUCUUUUGUGAUAGAAAGGAAUAGUAGUGGAUUCAGUGGUUGAAGUUUUUCUUGCUCAAAUUGUCUCAGACCAUCUUCCUAGCCCAGCAUUAAUGUCCAUGCUUGAUUUCCCUUAAAUUCAAGCAGCAAAACAUAAAGGCGGAACUAGAAAGAUGGUGAAUUUGUAGCAAAACCGUAAAGAUAUUGAACCCCCACUUGUACGGUGUGCAAACCAAUCUGCAAUCUUCGUUCCUGGCAAAGAAAACAUCUUGUUUUUAGCUUCGAUCGUUUCCUCUAUCAGUCAUAAGUUUAGAAACUGUUAAAAGUUAAUCUAUGAGUUUGAGACAUCGGUAGGAAUUGAUACACACUUGAUAGAAACUGAUAUUAAUGAUAUCAGAAAAACUGAAGACUUCAAUCUAGAAAAAUGUUACGAAAUGUCUAGAAACUUAUAAACGGUUAUUGUGGCAAUGAUAAAAGCUCUUCAAUAGCAUCAAGCCAAUAAGUUCCAUUAACCAAUCUUGCUCUCUUCGGUCGCAUUAAUUCAACAAAGUUGAACAGUCAUCAACUUGGAAAUCUCUCUCUCAAUGAAAAACUGCUCUGUGUGAUGAAGCAAGGACACUCCUUGGAUUAGGCGUGUCCCGGAGUCGGACACCGACACUUAUAAUUACACUGAAAUAUGUAAUUUUCUCAAAUUAUUAGCGGUGUCGGUGUGUCUGAGUCCGUGUCCGGUGUCCGUGCUUCAACAGUUAUUACCUGGACUCAAGUUGUAAAGACAAAACAAACAAUCUUAUGCAGAAUAAUACUAUUAUACAAACUAAUUCAAGUUAAUGUUCCUUAAUAAAUUUACAAACUCUAAAAUUAUACAGGCUAUAUAAUGUACUGCAUGUCAAAUCUUGCUGUGGAAAUGUGUCAUUAACAUGCAUGCAAUCAACAACUAAGACAUUUAAUUUUAUUUUACAAAUAAAUAAAAAACUUGCUUUUCAAGUUAUUAAUUUUGCUAGAACAAAAAAAGCAUCAUCAUCAAUUAACUAAGCAAAGCAAUAAAACUGUAAACACAACAAAAAUUAGUUCGAUAAAAAAAAAAAAAAAAAAAAAGGAAAUAAUACCUUUAACAAGAUCAACUUGUGAAACAUCAAGUUGGUAAAAGUAACUGUAAACUUCAUUUUGAAACAUGCAGAAACGGUUUUCGGGUACCCAUUUGCUCUGACGACGAGAGACAGUGUGGUCGUCAGUGUUGAAAAAACGAUCUGGUCCAAACAGAGCUUUGUCACCGCUUCGCAGAUUCAAACCACCUUCAUCAACAUCUUCCUGUUGUCUAUUGUUGGUGGUGGUCGGUGAAAGGUAAAUAGUAAAUACCUAACAUCGGCACCGGCACCGUCACCACCGCCGCAUAGAUAGCGGUGCUAGGUUUUCUAAACAUUUCUAUUUUGGCCCUUUAUGACAAAAUGGUGAGUUAUUUAUAAUAGUGUUAUUUAUAAUAGUAUCAAGUAUAAGCAUCAAAGAAAUUGUAUUUAAGUUUUCUCUUUUUUUUAUUUCAAUAAAUAUACUUAUUUUUCUCGUUUUAAUUUUCUAAACUUUUGUUAAACUAAACUUUAUUCAUCACUUUUUAUCUCCAUUUUUCAACAUAUAUUCAGUCUUCAUAAUCUUUUUAAUGAAAUUUAUAUGUAGAAUAUUUUAACAAUCUCUAAUUUUUUUUUUAAUUUUUAACAAAAUAUAAAUAUUUUAACAUCAAAAACAUAAAAUUCAUGUUGUUUAAAAAUUAUAUAUUUUUGUUAAAGAUUGUUAUAAUAUUUUACUCAUUUUUAAAAAAAAAAAAAAUCAUUAAAAAAUAUAAAAAUUAGACAUAAACUAUCCAAAAACGAUGAGGAAAAACUUUAAAGACUGAAAACCAAACAAAAAUUUAUAUAUUUAUGAAGGAAAAAAAAAUUUAAUCUUUUAUUAUUUUAUAUUCAUUUGUAAUCUCUUGCAAGUUGCACCGUUUUGUUUUUGUUUAAUAUUACGUAUAUUUUUUUCAUUUAACCUCUUCCACCGUUCCUUCCUAUCUCAUUUAAUGAGGAAAUUAUAGAGUUUAUUGGAGAACUCUCAAAUUCCUUAUGCUUACACUUACACCAUAAAACUGAAAUUAGCAUUAAUUAACUGGUUUAAUUCUUAUGCGUUAGAUAUACUUUUUCAUUCUUUUUUUGAGGGGACGUUAGGUGUACUUAAAAAUAAAAUAAUUUGCUACUAUAAGUUAGGAUAUACGAGUUUCAAUUAAGACUUUAUUUGAUAAAAGUAAUAUAUAACCGAUAAACUUGCAUAUAAUUUAUAACUGAUAGUUUAUAGAUUAUAAUAUAUAGUUGAAAAUUAACGACCGGUGAUGAUUGUUAGUUGAUAAACUAAUUAUACAGUUUGAUAAAAUUAGUAGUUCAACUAAUUGAUGUAUAUAAAAUGAUAUAAAAUAAUGCUUUUGAUUCAUAAUCAAAUAGAGUUUAAUGGUGAUGGGUUGACAACAGACAACCAAUCAAAACAUUCUGAAUCGCCACAUCAAUUAAUUUUUUAAUUUAAAUAUCAAUUUAGAAUGUUUUGAUUAGUUGUGUGUGCAAAAUUGUUUUGAACGGUCAACCCACCAUCAUUAAACUCUGAUAAAAUUUAUAUCAAUCAAUAUUUUAGAUAUUUGCUAAUUUAAAUUCUUUAAUUGAACAUAUAUUUAAUACAUUAUAUACUCUCUUGGCUUAAAUGCACUCUCUUGGGUGGGGCGAGGAUGUUUAGGCUUUAAAGAGGAGGUGAAAGUUAUUUGCUUGAGAGGUAAGAUUUUAAUUAAGCUAAAUUACAUUUUUGGACUGUUUAAUUGGUAUCGGAUUGGUCCUCUAACUAAAAAUUGAUUUAUUUCGGUUCUCUAAGUUUCUCACUAUUACUACAUUUAGUCUUUUCUGUUAGUUUUAUUCAAAUAAACGUUAGGGUUUGUGUUAUGUGGACUCAGGGGACUCGAACCUGCACCAUCCACACCAAUUUUAAGCAAAUCAAACUACCAGAACCCUUAACAUUUUUUGCUUAUUCUUGAAUCAUUUUAGUAUAUAUUCCAUAAUAGUUCGGCACCCCCAAGAAAAUAAGUCAAGAUCCGCCACUAGCAUUAACAUUGGCAUGGUAUCUCUAAUUGGCUUGGUUUCAUUACGGUACACCAUGAACUUGUGGCAUAUCGCUUUCUUUAAUUUGGAAAUUUAGGAGGUUAAACAAAAAACAUCCGCUCAACUUUUCAACUCAUUUGACUCUCAUGUGUGUCGAUGAUUUGGUGUGAAAGAAAUGUUCACAUUUUUUGUCAAAAUGAUGAAUCGUUAUAACAACUUUUCGAGAAAAUUAAGCUUCAAUCUUAUUGGUGACAGCAAAUGAAUUGCACUAAUUUUACUUUUAACUAUCAUUUGUGAUGGCUUAACCCGAUAACUUGUUUGAGAUUCACCUUGUAACGGGGUUGCUUUGUCCUCAUUUUUUUUUUUUUUGUGGUGCUUUGUCCUCAUUUCUAUUUCGAGUUUGCUAUAUCUUUUGAUGUAAUUUGACUUUGCUUCCUCGUUUUUAAGCAAUCCUUGUGCUGGAAAUACCAGGUUCUUAGUUAUUAGUAUAAUUCAUUUUAAUUUCUUACAAAAAUAUAUAUUGUUAAAAAAUUAAAGUAUAAAGUUUUGUUUUGAAUUUAUUUCAUUUCAAAUAUAUAAAAAAAAAUUAACUUAAUAUAAAUAUUUUCGGUAAAGUUUUAUUUUAAAAUUAUCUCAUUUCCAUCUCAGCAUCAAGGUUCUUCACUAUCACGAGUCCACUCGUCAUCCUCGUUGUUUACUGCAAAUAUUUUUUUCGAUUUCCCUACAUUUUCUCCUCAAAAUCAUCCUCAUCAUUCCCUGCUUUCUUUGCUAGGCUCCUCGAGGAACCACUCUUAAUUCUCCACAUUCCCGAUUAUGUCCUUUCGAUUUUAGUCAAACUCGUGUCUCACAAAACCAAAUUCUGCAUUUUCAAAAUUGAAGUAUUUUAAAAGUAUUCAAAAAGGUACCAAUGUAAUUUCAAGAUACAAAUUUGGCAUAAAUAUAACCAUCCAGUAAACAACUCUGUUAACAGAACUGAAUUAUACCACCAUUGGAAGGUUAUAGCGGUACUUACAUAUAAUUGAAUAUACUCAUCUUACCUCAAAAUACCAAAAGUCACACUUUAAAUUACACACAUGAUAAAAUCUUUCUCUGAUAGAAAAUUGUCGACAAGAAUUCAACAAAGUAUAAAAGUUAAAAAAUACUUCAUCUUCCAUAUUAUAACUUAUGACAUAAAUAAAAUGUCGAUUAUAUGUACAAAGUGUAGGCCUACCCAAACAGAUAACAUAAACAUUUAAAACAACACAAUGGAUCCAACCUCUAGUUAAUUCUAACAAACACUAAUCAAAUGUGUACAUACUAGUGAAUGGAUUGACCGUUAAUACGAAACGAUUCAACAAAUAACAACUCCUUGCAAUAACAAUAAGCAAAGGAACUCAUUCAAGUUAAGCCUAUCAAUCCAACAUCGAACAAGAGAAUGUUGAUGAUAUCACAACUAAUCCAAAAUCAAUCACGAGUACUAAUACAAAUGUUAAGACGACGUCGACGCAUUGGAGGCGAACCCAAAAUCUAGAAACCUGCGGAUCUCAACACAUAUAGACAAUGACUUGUUAGAAAAAACACAAUAUAGACAACGAUCAAAGAGUCUAGAAAUGCUAACGCUAACCAGGCAUGAGGCAACAACCAUUUAACAGACCCAUUAUGUUUUUUUAGAACCAAAACCAACAUCUGCACCGAGACAUUGAAGGUACCCAUAUCCAUCAACCAACCCACCGAAUCCUUGGAUAAGCUUUGAAGGCCGAACCACUAUCGAGAGAACCAGAGAUGGAGACAUUUGCAAAUAUGAUAGAAACAAAGAAAUCCGCGACAACAAAGCAAACCAUCUGUCGGCCGUGUAACUACGAUCCCAACAAAAAGCUUUGUGUAAGGAGGUGGUACAACAACGAACAUCCACGUUUUUUUUUUUGAAAGGUCUUAUCCUAUUAUUAUUGACAAGUCAGCCUUUAUAUAUUUUUUAUUUUAC
RNAcentral lists this long non-coding RNA (58444 nucleotides) under Medicago truncatula (barrel medic). RNAcentral describes it as "long non-coding RNA (MTRU_LNC000030)". The record is from RNAcentral. Lineage: Eukaryota; Viridiplantae; Streptophyta; Magnoliopsida; Fabales; Fabaceae.